This 67594-nucleotide long non-coding RNA is filed under the name Gossypium barbadense (sea-island cotton). RNAcentral's name for it is "long non-coding RNA (GBAR_LNC012071)". The stretch from base 56208 to 56353 matches the Rfam family "MIR7502 microRNA precursor family". The record is from RNAcentral. Lineage: Eukaryota; Viridiplantae; Streptophyta; Magnoliopsida; Malvales; Malvaceae.
UCAAAAGGAAAGGUCAAAUUUAUUAUUAGUCCCAGUCUUUUUUAAUUCUAAAAUUUCAGUCCUAACUCAAGCUAAAACAGUUAAAUUCGUUAGGCCAAAUUUUAAAAAUUGUAGCAAAAUCUGAUAUUUAAAUAUAAUUAAUAUCUAACUAAUUAUUUUAUAUUAAUUUAUAGUUAGGGUUUUUUUUCAUAUUUAUAUUUUUAUUGAAUUAUUUUGUAUUUGUUGUUUUUUGAGUAAUUAUUAAGCAAAACGAGAUUAACAUCAGGCUUAAUUGGACUUGUAUGUGGGUUAGGCGAUUUAGUCCAGCCCAAAAGUUCACUCGAAAAGUGAAAGUAUUUUGAUAAAAAUAUAGAUCUAAAAAUAGACUUAGGUAAAAAGUGAAAGGGUAGUGAAAAACAAGAUGGGCCUCAGGUAAAGUCGUUUUUUAGCCUAACCCAACUUGAAUUUUAAAAAAAUUAUUAUUUUGUUAUCAUUUUACUAUUGUAUUAUAACUAUUUUCUAAUUUUUUUUAUAUAAAAGGUAAAUAAAAAUUUUAAAACAGAUAAAUUAGACCGAACUUAAAUUUUAAUAUUUUUAUUUGAGUUAAAUUUAAAAAAAAUUAAACCUAAUUUUUAAACCGAACCAAAUAUAGACCUAUCAAUGGGUCUAGAAUUUUGUUAAGCCCCACAUGGAGAACUCUAGGCACAUUACUAUUUCUGUUUUUCUUUUUGUGGGUUCAGAUCAUCAACCAAAUAUAAAUAAACAAAAAUAAAUGAUUAGCACUUCGAUUCUCUCCAGAGGUGGCCGAGGAAUAAGGUUCCUACCGUUUCAUCGCCAUUUAAUUCCUGCUACUACUACUACCUGUUCCACUACUACACUUGCCACUCUUUCCUCCCACCCAAACCCCACUUCUUUCAAAAUCGCCACUAAAAACCCCGCUCCUCUCCAAAACAUCGUGAAAUCCUCGUCACCAGUUCCUGGGAUUGUUGGGUUUUCAAUGAUGGCGUCUGCAACUGCUGGAGAAGAUGGUCAUUUCAAGUUGUCUGAAACUAGUGUGCUUAAAAUCAACAAGGGUGAUAUUACUAAGUGGUUUAUUGAUGGCUCCUCUGAUGCUAUUGUUAGUCCUUUCUCUUUAAUCUUUAGUUUCUUUCUGUUAUAGUUGUUUCUGGGUUUUUGAUGAUUUGUUUUUGUUUAUAUUUGUUUAUCGUAUUUGAAGUAUGUUUGUUUAUGGAAUUAGUGAUCCAAAUCUCUGUUUAAGUAGGAUAAUUGAUUAAUGUUAUGGGCAAAUGGAAGGAUUGUUGAGUUGGAUUUUAAAAAAUGGAAGGAUUUCUUUAAAUCAUAACAUUUGAUUGGGAUUUGUCUCUUUACUCCGUCGAGAGAGCUCCAGUGGGGUCACAAAAUAGGAGUGUUUUGGGGUGCCUGAAUAGGUGAACAUGGCAAACGGAAGAGUUUGCGCGUGGUCUGACUCAACCCUGAGUAGGAGAACCAUGGCAAACUGAAGGUCUAACUCGAUUUUAUGACCUAUGGCAUAUAAGUUAUUGAUGAGGGAGUAUGAUGAGCUCGUAGUGCUCUAGGUAGAGCCGAGGCAUAUCAACAAAAAUUAUGUGUUCUUUAUGGAUGUGCCACGUGUUGCUUGAACAAGCAAAAAUCAUUUUCGCUGAAGAGCGAGUGCAUAGCUCCCUCGAGAUCCUCUAUAUGGUAGAGGUCUUGAGUUUGAGCCUUGCCGUGAGCUCGCUCUUCAGCGACUAUGGCUUUUGCCUGUUCAGACAAUACAAGGCACAUCAACAUCAUGCUAUAUAUAUAUAUAUGUAUGUAUGUAUUGAUGGCUAUAUUUCUUUGAUGGGAUUCUAUGUACAUUGAUUAAAAUCAAGCACGGUGAUAGUUCUGAUGAUAAUCACCUGCAGGUUAAUCCAGCAAACCCGAGAAUGCUCGGAGGUGGUGGCGCUGAUGGAGGUAGAAUACCUCUGCAUAUUUUUCUUCUCCUCAUUUUGAACCUUGUUGAUGUCUUAGAAAACUGAACUUAUAAUGACCAUUGAUGAAUUUUACUAGCCAUACAUAGAGCUGCUGGCCCAGAACUUAAAGAAGCAUGCUAUAAGGUACCAGAAGUUCAACCUGGUAUUCGUUGUCCCACCGGAGAAGCAAGGAUUACCCCGUAAGUUCUUCGGUUUUUACUGCCGGUUCACCUGAAUAUUUGCACAUUAACAUACUAACAUGUUGAGAUUAUGCAGAGGAUUUAAAUUGCCUGCAUCUCAUGUGAUUCACACUGUUGGACCGAUUUAUGAUUCCGACAAGGACCCUAAAGGCUCACUGAGAAAUGCAUACAAGUAUGCUAUGAUGUUCCUUUUACACCAUUCAAUUUGUAGUUUAAGUUUAUCAUUCUCAAUAAGAUAUCCUCUUGAAAUUGUUGCAGAAAUUGCUUAACUGUGGCUAAAGAGAACAACAUUAAAUACAUCGCGUUUCCUUCCAUAUCUUGCGGUGUAUACGGGUAAGUGAUGCAAUAGAACCACCAAAGGAUUUUGUGGAAAGUUGGCUAAAUUAUAUCUGUUGAUGACAUGUUCUUUAAGGACUGGUUUUCAAUUUGUGAUAUUUGGAGGUAAAAGUACCAUGGAGACCUUUGUACCAAGAGUCAAUUUGCAUUUUAUCCAUUGUACGAAAAAAUGGGCAAAUUUGUCUCUGUAUAUUAGAUUAAAAAAUGGGCAAUCUGAUUCCUAUCAUUAAGGCUUUGAUGGUACUUUUACCAAUAUUGAAUCAUUACGUAACUUGUGUAAGUUUCUGGGAUUGAUUUUGACAAAGAUCAUGAACUCAUAGACAUAGUAGAAAUGUUUUUUAUCUUUUCACUUUCGGUCAUGGAAGACAGUUCUUUUCUGUAAAAUUCAUUGUUAUUUAAGUAACGAAUCCGUCCCGUGUUCAUGGAUUUCUUUAUUUUUCUACCUUAGAUUAUAUGUUUUCUUUUCUUUUCUGAAAAUCUUCCAGGUACCCUUAUGAGGAAGCAGCUACAGUUGCUUUAUCUACUAUCAAAGAAUUUGCCAAUGACAUUAAAGAGGUAAGUUCCCUUUUCAAUGUAUUUUGAGUGUCCUUGGAGGCUUAUAUUUUCAUACUCAUUUUCCAAAUAUGUGUCGAAUACGGAAAUUUCGAGAAAAAUAAAGAGUUGGUGUUUGCAGGUGCACUUUGUUCUAUUUGCUGAUGAUAUCUACGAUAUUUGGACGAAAAAAGCAAAGGAAUUGCUCUAGGUUUAGUGCAUGCUAGGAACUAGAAUUGAGACCUUCUUCAUGCUUGAGGGUGGAUUGGAUAAUAAAUGUACCUUAAUUGGCAUGGACCAAUUUGCUUUCCUUUGGAUUAUGUAUUGUGAGGGAUGCAUAGAUGCCAUAUGCCAAUAUGCUUAAAUCUGGAUUUUAUAUAUGUUUGGUGCAGUUUUCUUUAUAUAACAAUCUCAUUAUAGGGGUUGAUCAUAUUUGUUCUUUUUGACAAUAUCUAGAAUUACUUAUAAUCACUCCUCAAGGAUAAUGCUCUUUAGCACACUGGAACUCAUGACCCCCAACAUUGAUAAUAAUACCAAUGCUCAUUGAGCUAAGACUUAAUCGACAUGUUUAGUGCAUUUAUGAAGUAUUACAAAUUGUUGCUAUGAUGUGUUAUAUUUUUUGAAAUUUUUAUUUUCUUAAAGAAUUUAAGUGCGUCAAUUUUUAAAUAAAAAAAAUAUUAUGUAAUGUAACUAAAAAAAUGAUAUUGUAGUGACACUAAAUUUAACAAAAUAAUUUUAAUAAUGUCAAUAGUUGAAUCUGAAUUUUAAGAUUUGAAAAGUGUAGAGACUAAAUUUUAAAUUUACAAAGAGUACAUAGACUUGUGGCAUAUUUCUUUAUCAUAAAACUAUGUAAUUUUGUUAAGAUUAGUAUAAUAAAUUUAUAAUAAAACUAUUUAAGUUAAUUAACUAUUUAAUAGGGCAAAUGAAAAAUUAUGUUUCUUCGAAAAUUAUUUUUAAAUUAUUUAAAUGAAAUUAAUCAAAUAACAUAUAAUUAUAUAUAUUUUUAAAAAUAACAUAUAUGUUAUAGAAUUAAAAUACAAUUAUUACUAUAUAAAAAUAAAAUUUUAAACUUAAAAUAAUGUAUAAUCGUGUUUGGAAUUUGUUUAUAAUUAUCCACUUAAUUAUUUCAAUGCUUAACCUUGAGAGUAUAAUUAGAGUACUCCAAUUACACAAAACUUGCUAAUUAACUAAUUAUUCAAAUAUGAAACAUGUAUAAUUACGAUAAUUUACAUCUAAAUCCAAUUGCUAGAUUACUUUUCAAAUCGUACCUACAAUUUUUGUAAAAUAAAAGAUAAAUUUUUGAUAAAUUAAACUAAAAGAACUAAUGUAUUAAUUCCCCAAAGUAGAGGGAUGAAAUUUUAAUUAUUGAACCCCAUGUAUUGGCUUGAUAGUUAGGGUGUUCACCAUCCCAAGUGUAAUUUGGGUUUGAGUCGCACUAGUCGUGUUGUUGGUAGGGCUUUGCCCUCCCCUUGUAAUUCAAAAAAAAUUAAUUAUUUAUUUGAUUAUUAUUGGUCUAAUAGUUGAAUCGGUUAAACUGAUAGAAUUUAAAACCAACGGUGUAACCGGUUCAACCAUUGGUUUGAUUAUUAGAACAUUUUAUAGCACACUCUAAAAGUAUAGCAUAUUAUCACUCGAAAAUUUAUAUAAUUUUUAAAAUUUUUCUAGUUAUGUUAUGGCAGAAUCUUAGAGUGUCACGUCAUUCAACUAUUUUUUUAAAAGUUAUCAAAUUUUUUUAGUGAUAAAAAUAAAUCUAGUUGCUAAAUUCAAUAACAAAAGUAGGAAAAAAAAAAUACAUGUACCUGAUAAGACCUCUUUGUCAAGUUAAAGGGCCAAAAACUAAAUUAUCCCAUCAAUCAAAGAGUUAGGGUUUCAACACUAAAGUCGCCCAAGUAUAAAACCAUAUUUUUUCCCAAAAUUUUAUUCUUCCUCUCACAAGCCAAAAACCCUAGUUAUUAAUCGGCGGAAGCAGAAAGCCUCUAGCCAUGGUCAGAUCUUCAUUUCCUCUCCACUUUGGCCUUUUGGUCUUCAUCAAAACUUAAUCUUUUUCACAAAUUUGUGCACUCUGAUUAUAUCUUUUAUUUUUUUGUAGACUUUCAAACGUAGGAAUGGUGGCCGCAACAAGCAUGGCCGUGGCCAUGUCAAAUUCAUCCGCUGUUCUAACUGUGGCAAAUGCUGCCCCAAGGUAUUUCAAAUUUAGCAAUCUGUGUUUUUCCUCAGCCGAUUCUUUCGCUUCUUCUUUUAAUUUAUGCUGAAUUAUUGGGUUUGUUUUUGGAAUAUAAAAGGAUAAGUCAAUUAAGAGGUUUCUUGUGAGGAACAUUGUGGAACAAGCUGCUGUUAGAGAUGUCCAAGAAGCCUGCGUUUAUGACAGUAAAGUUUUUUUCUUCAUUUAUUUAAUUUCUUAAUUAUAGUCGAAUUUUUUCAUUCUUGUAAUCAUUGCUUUGGUUAAUUAUGUGUAGCUUAUACUUUGCCUAAGCUGUAUGUGAAGAUGCAAUACUGUGUCUCGUGUGCGAUCCACUCCCACGUUGUGAGAGUCCGAUCCCGCACCGAUAGGAGGAAACGUGACCCACCCGCCCGCUUCAUCAGACGCAGGGUACGUGUCUUUUAUAACCAGUGAUUCAGUGCUUUUCUUGUGUUGCUAUGAAGUAUUUCAAUGAUCCAUGUUUGAAGUGAAUAUUGAUUUGAGUUCUAUAAAUGUUUUUGUUUAAAGGUAUGAUUUUUGUUACCAUCUAGUGUAUAGGGUUUUUAAUGGAAUUUCAGCUAUUGAAAAACCUAUGGCUGUCAUUAGAAUUGUUCUUUGCUUUAUGAUGUAUAGGAUGAUAUUAGGGUAUUUUGUUAAUUCUCCAUGUAUGCUUAAUAGCCGUUUGAAUCACUUUUUCAAUUGCCUUUUUUGGUGUCUUAUUGAGGUAAAAGUACUAUAGAGGCCCUGUACUAUGAGUCGGCUUGUAUUUUGCCCCUUCUACGGUAGAUUAAAGAGCAAAUUGGUCCUUCUCAUAAAAUUUUUAUCCAUUUUAGUUUCUAAAAAUUGCUCCUUGUACCUCAACAUGAGGUACAUGUUGCGUGUUGCGUGUUGCGUGUCACUAUCUAGCACUAGUUUUUAAUAGUACUAAUAGAUGAAAGUUUUAAUAGAAAUGACUAAUAUGCUCUUUGACCUAAUACAUAGGGACUAAUUUGCGCAUUUUUUAGUACAGGGGACAAAAUGUAAUUUUACUCCAAAUACAGGGGCUUCCAUGAUACUUUUACCGUCUUAUUGAGCAUUAUGGAUAGAGAAUACCUUGAAUCUAUAAUAUUUGAUAUAUGGAAGUCGUCAGUAAGACUAGUAGAAUUUGGUAUUAUUUUGCUACUUAAGAUCCGUCACCAUCAUUAGGAUGAUUCCCUUUUCUGUGUUAUGCAUGAUGCAAUUCUUUAGUGACUUAUGGCUGCCUCUUAUGCAAAAUUUUAAUUGCUCUCAGGAUGUGAGAGUCCCUCGUAUAGUUAUUAGACAUUUAUACCAGACAAUUGUUUGUCAUUGUGUUGCGUCUCAUUUUAGACAUGACACAAAAAAAUGGAAUGCGAACACGACAUGAAUAAACGUAUCAAAACUAACAGACUCGGAUCUUUGAUCGCUUGGGAUGGUAGAUAUGUCUUAGAACUAAUGUAACUAAGAUAGUGAUUGAUGGUCAUCACGUAGCAGUACUUUGCAUCUUUUGAGGGACCUGUCUGCCCCUUUAGCUGAAAUUUUCAAGUGCUCGAGGGAUGAACUGGUCCCUCAUAUCUAACAUCCAUCUGAUCACUUUGUCAGUUGCCUUUCCCAGUGGCAUGCUGAUCAUUAUAAGAUGGAAAAUGUUAUGUAUAUGCAUAAAGAAUUUAGCUGACUCUUGAAUUGAAUUAUUUGCUUUACGAAGUUAUUUUAUUUUCUAAAAUAAGGAAUAAUGUGUAAAAAUACCAUUUAGAUCCUUGUACUAUGAGUCUGGUUCCAAUACGUAAUUAAAGCUUUCCUUUUCUUGUUUCUUAAAAUUUUGCUUGCAAUCAAGAGCUUCAUUAAUUAUAUAUUAAAUUUUCAGGAUGAUAUGCCAAAGCCUGGUCAGCCUGGUCAAGCACCACGUCCAGGUGUUGCAGCUCCAGCUCGUGCUUAAGGCCUGUGAAAGCUUUUAAGAUAAAUUUUCUAUAUUUUUAUUUUGGUUUUAAAUGGUUGCAUUAAAUUUAAGAACAUGGAGACAUGUAGGAAGGUUUUGAUUGCUUAAAAGUUUAAUACCAUUUGAUACCUUUUUAUUAUUAUUUUGGAAGCCUUGAAUGGUUGAGAUUUGAGAGUACUUGUUCAUCAAAACUGUUGCUUGUGCUUCUACUUAUUUCUCAUUAUUUUGGAUAAAAAUUAAAAAAAAAGAGAGUAUGAAUUACAUAUGACAUGUUGAAUUUGAUUUUUGAAGAAGUUGACUAAUUUGCAUCAAGAAUACUAUGUAUACCUUUAACCUUACCAUUACUACUAAAGCAUCAUUUCAAUUUCAUGUGUUAUAAAUUUGGUUAUAUAUUAAUAUUUUAUUAAAUUGAUAUCACGAGACUAGGAUGAAAAUAUUUAUCUUAAAAAGCAAUACACGAGAUUAUAUUUUUUGUUAUUUUUUAUAAAAAAAUAAGAAAAAAAUAGUAAAUUACAUUAGUAGUUAUUGUAUUAUUAGUAAAUUUUUUAUUUAUCACUCAAUUAUUUAAUUUUAUCUUUUUUAGUUAUCAACCGUUGACAUGAUAUUAAUUUUAAUCGGUGUUAACUUGUUCUUGAUUUUGAAAAACUAACUUUUAAUGUUUACACAUUAAAAAUUUAAGAUUUUCAUUUUUCUCUCAUUUUUAAAGUUUACCCUUAAUGCUAUGAAAAAAAUUAUAAAAAAAUAAAUAAAUUAUACAAUGUGCAAAUGUAGAGGAUUAAACUUAUUAUUUAAAAUUUAUCAAGUUAUUAUCUAUGUAUACACAAUGAUUUAUCGAGUAUUCAACAAAUUUUUAGAGCAUUACAAGUACAAUUAAAGUACAAAUAUAAAUAUAUAUCAAAUAAUUAAAAAUACCAAACUAUUGCAACUCGGACCGAAUAUAAACGUGUACUUUAAAUUAACUAGACUUGUGUCUUGUAUCUGAAUCCUCAAAAUUCAGGACCUCGUCUUUACCAACCGAAGCAAGUUUCGUCUGGCUGUAAACCAUUCAAUCGGCAGAUGAACAGUGAUCUGACACGCCAUGUUUUGAAGUGUCAAAACCCAAACAUACCACAAACUUGGAUCACGACAUGUUUUUCAAAAGUUAUUUUUUUCAGUACGUGGCUGACAUGCAUUACGCCAUGUACCCCUCAAACCCCAUAUAUAUUAUAUAGAGUUGCACCUAGAAACAAGUAGAAGCAAAAGCAAAAAUGGCUCAAGCAACUUUCACAGCCGAAGAUCAAAAGAUUGAGUCUUUUAGGUUACUAAGUGGCCACAAAAUCCCUGCAAUUGGGUUAGGCACUUGGAGAUCCGGUUCACAAGCCGAUAACUCCGUCAAGACCGCCAUUGUUGAGGUACUUAUAUAUGCUUGGACUUUCUUUCAAGUAUCUUUGUAUAUAUUUGUCUUUGGGAGCUAAGUUAUAUUUUUAUUAUUUAACUAAAUUUAUAAUUUUAAAAAUCUUGAAGGAUUAAUUAUUUUGAGGAGUCAAGGCCCCUACGUUUCCUCUUGGCGCCGUCCCUGUUCUUUGUAUUAAAUUUUCAUUAACAUUUCACAAUGGUUGCAGGGUGGUUAUAGACAUAUAGAUACAGCUUGGGAAUACGGUGUUCAAGAAAGUGUAUAUAUCUCUUCUCCCCCAACAAUAUGAAAGUUGUAAAUUUUCAAUUUUCAUUAAACAAUAAUUUUAUAUUCCAUUAAAAUUUUUCAUUUUAUUUAUCAGGUUGGCCAUGGAGUCAAAGCAGCAAUACAUGCAGGAGUAGAAAGAAGGGAUCUUUUCAUUACAUCCAAGCUAUGGUGCACCGAGUUGAGUCCAGAACGUGUUCGACCUGCUUUAUUGAACACCCUCCAAGAACUCCAACUUGAAUACCUUGAUCUUUACCUGGUAAUCUGAUCAAAAUGUCAUUUACAUCAACAUGUUGGAGGAUGAAAUGCCUGCAAGACUUUUCAUUACAGAUACAUUGGCCAUUUAGGCUAGCAGAUGGAGCAAGCAGACCACCUAAACCAGGUGACGUACAAGAAAUGGACAUGGAAGGUGUUUGGAGAGAAAUGGAGAGGCUUGUAGAAGACAAGCUGGUUAGAGAUAUUGGUGUGUGUAAUUUUACACUGAAGAAGAUGAACAAGUUGCUUGGUUUUGCUGAAACUAUGCCAUCUGUUUGUCAAAUGGAAAUGCAUCCUGGUUGGAGAAAUGAUAAGAUGUUGGAAGCUUGUAAACAGAAUGGCAUCCAUGUCACUGUAAGAUCUGAUCUAUCUUAUCAUAUAUUUGGAAUGAAUAAAUUAAUCAUUGGAUAUUCAUGAUGAUGUUGAUGGAUUUGCAGGCAUAUUCACCACUUGGUUCACAAGAAGGUGGUAGGGACCUAAUCCAUGAUGAAACAGUGGAUAGAAUAGCAAAGAAGCUGAACAAAACACCAGGACAAGUGCUGGUAAAAUGGGCUAUACAAAGGGGAACCAGUGUCAUACCCAAAUCAAACAACACUGAUAGGAUCAAAGAAAACAUUGAGGUGUUUGGGUGGGAAUUGCCACAAGAGGAUUUUCAAGCUCUUUGUAACAUCCCUGAUCAGGUAAUAAUAACUACAAUACAUAUCAGUUUAGUUUUGUAAUAAAUAAAACUUGGUUUGAAGGUUGAUUGAUGAAAAGGUUUUGUUUUUUUUUUUUGUUUUUGCAGAAGAGAGUGUUGCAUGGAGAACAAUUGUUUGUGAACAAGAAUGCAGGGCCUUUAAGAAGUGUGGCUGAUGUAUGGGAUCAUGAAGAUUAGUAAUAAUAUAAUCCCAUUUUACAAUGUUGAUGUUCUUAUCAAUAAAUAAGAUGAUGAGGAUGAGGAUGAUGAUGAUUCCAUGUGUGUUUGUAGUGAUGAUGAUAUGUUCUUAUAAAUAAAUUAUGCUGUUUCUAUACAGUAGUUUUUCUAGAAAUAUUUGGUGGCCAGACCUGGAUAGAGUUCUAAGCUGCUAAUCACUCUGUCAUAGACAUCGUUUACAACACUGAUAUUAUGUCACAUCAUCAUGAACAUUAAAAUAUAUAUAUAUAAUUUUAAGUGAUAAUACAGUACAAUCUCAUAAUCUCAUAUUCAAUGUUUUAAUAACCGAGCUUAAAUAGAUCAGAUCACUAAUUCUUGGUUAAUAUAACCAUUAAACCGAAAAUAAAUAACUAAAAUUCAUAAAUCUAAUUAUCAAAUUCAAAUACCAAAAAAAUAUAUAUAUACUCCAAUUCAAAUUCAAAUAUUAAAACACAUUCGAAAUCAACAUUCAUUAUCUAAUACACAAAGCAAGGGAUAAAAGAAAACAAAAAGUAAAACAUAUAUUUUUAGUAUCAACUAAUAUUCUCUUACUUAGAGAACACUCAAACCCAUUGCAUCCCAUUCACAGUAACUAUAAAGAAAAAACAUACAUAGGUAUAGGCAACCCACCGUUGAAGCAAAGUACCAUAGCAAGUUCAAAUAGACUCCUACAAAUAAGCAUUUGGAAUCUCUCUCUUCUAAUUUUCUGCUUUGUUUAGAUAUUCAAUUUCAAAUUUUUUUUUCUCUACCACAUCGAAAGAGACAGAGAGGAAGGAGAAAUGGAAGAGCUAAAGUACCAUGGGCAUCAACAUCCACUGUUGAUGUUAAAUGAGGAGCAGUUGAUUGGCAAUGGCAAUGGAGUUGUUGAUUGCUCAAGGUGUGGGGAGAAGGUGUCAGCUCCAUGUUUUAGCUGUGCGGAGUGCUGUGGGUUUUACCUCCAUAAGACAUGUGCCGAGGCACCUUUGGAGCUUAAUCAUCCUUUUCAUCGCCACCAUCCUCUCCUGCUUCUGCAGAAUCCACCUUACACUUCUGACACAAGGUGCGUUUGCGAUUUCUGCGAUGAAACAUGUGAGCAGUUCAUUUACCGUUGCUCUUGUGACUUGAACUUUCAUAUUAAAUGUGCGUUGUUUACAUUUAAUAUUGCUGAAAGAAAUUUGAAAGAGGUUGAGCAUGUUGCCCUUGAGGAUCCAUCGUUUUCCUCUAGAAACGAUAGUGGAAACCUGGGUAAGUGCUUUGUGUGUUGGGAACCAUUAGCAAUUUAUACAUACUUCUCUCUUGAUGGUGGGUUUAACUUGCAUAAGAAGUGUGCUGAGCUUUCUCUCAAAUUGGAUCAUUUGUGCCAUCGCAAACAUCCUCUUGUUUUGCAAUUUAAUAGUCAACGGCGUGCUUGUAAAGUAUGCCAAGUAACUCAACGAAGAGGAUUUGUGUAUGGUUGUUCACUUUGUGAGUUGGCUAUUCACAUUGAUUGUGCAUCGCCAUUACCAGUUAUUGAAGAUAAAAGUCAUCAACACCCAUUCACCUUGUUUUGGAGACAAAUUCCAUUCAUUUGUGAUGCUUGUGGCACUGAAGGACAUCAUGUUGCCUAUACAUGUGGUACAUGCAGUAUUAUGGUCCAUAAAAAAUGCAUUUCAUUUCCACGCAUUAUCCAACAUGCGUUCCAUAGCCAUCGUGUUUUUCACACGUAUUUCAUUCGCAAGGAAUAUUUUGAAAGUUUGAAUUGCAUAUGGUGCCAUGAAGUUGUCAAUACAGAGCACGGUAGUUACUUCUGUGCAGAUUGCAAUGUUAUAUUCCAUGUGAAUUGUGCACUGAAAGAAAAGAAAUGGUAUUGCAUAGUUUCAGAGGAAAAUGAAGAUGACAAAUCUCUUGAUAUACCUGUUAGCUCCAUCACUGAGGUUCUUGAGAGGAAUGAUGCUGGAGAAGCCACAGUAAUAGAACAUUUCAAGCAUAAGCACUACUUGAUGUUAAAUGACAACAUCAGAGAGCAUGGUAAUAAAUAUUGUGAUGGGUGCUUGUUAUUGAUCUCCGCUAAGUUCUACCAUUGCUCGCGAUGUGAUUUCUUUCUUCAUAAAUCUUGUGCUGAAUUGCCUAAGAUGAAGCUUUUUUCGGUACAUAUUUGUGAAGAAAUGGAAUAUUUUUCUGGAUCAAAACCCCACAUCCUUACUUCAGACUGCAUGUUCAAAUGUGGCCUAUGCAGGUACCUUUCUAAUGGGUUUUUUUAUAAAUGUAAUGAAUGUGGAAUGGACCUGUGCCUUCGAUGUCUUGAUCUAUCUCUCCUAGAUGCUGUAAAAAUUCCAGGGCAUAAACACCCUCUUCUUUUCUAUUAUGAUUAUGAGGAGCAGUGUUGUGCUUGUGGGAGGGAUAUCAUUCGCGCAUUUUGUUGUAAGGAUUGCAAUUUUCAUAUAUGCAAUUUGUGUGUUAUACGACCAACUAGAGUUAGACACAAAUGUGAUGAACAUCUUCUUACACUCACUUAUGACAAGAUUAAUGAUUAUGUAAAAUAUCAUUAUUGUGACAUUUGUGAGAAAGAAAGGGAUCCAGAGCACUGGUUUUAUCAUUGCAAAACUUGUGACACUUCUGUUCAUGUGGAUUGUGUUCUUGGAAAAUAUUCAUUCAUCAAACUCGGGAGCACCUACAAUGAGGGAAACCAUGAACACCCUCUCACUUUUGUCAAGAAGAUUAAUUACUACCCUGAAUGUGUUGAAUGUGGUGAUCCUUGUGAAGAUCUUUCUCUUGAAUGUGCAGAACCCAGAUGUAACUAUAUUGCUCACUGGAAAUGCAGAAAACCAGCAAUCCGUGGUAGGUACUAAAAAUUGCGGCUUCAGUUUCACAAUAAGACAGUAUGUGGUUGUUGUUAAUAGUUGCUAUUUUUUAUUUGUGUGUUUAAAUAAUGCAAUGUUUUUAGGUUUGAAAUGUAAAUAUAUGAGAAUAAAAUUGAUAUGAUUUGCUUAUUUCUUGUUUAAUUUUCAUAUAAUAAUUUUGUUGCAUGCUAAGUAAAAUCAUAAUAAUAGAAUGUUAAUUAUUAUUUUCCUUAGAUUCCAUGAAUAAUUAGUCCUUAUGUGCUACCUUCCAUAUUUAUAUAAGUUGAAUAUAGUUAGAUGUAAAAAUAAUUGUUUACAAUCCGUUUGUUUCCUGAAAAUUUUAUUUAGAAUUGAUGUAAAAUAUUUUCAUUAAUUUGAUAAAUUUUCUGAAAAUAUUUCAUAAAAGAUAUUUUCAAAGAAACAAAUAUACUUCAAUGAAUAAAGAGUUGAUUUAUUAGACGAAUAUGGACCUUGAUUAAAUGGUACAAUUUAAUUUUAGUUCUUCUAAAAUAUUAAAAAUUCAAUUUAAUCCUUUUUAAUUUUUUUUGUUAAAUGAAAAGUUUUCAUUUUCAAUCUUUUCGAAAGUUUAAUAUUUAUUUUAAUGCAAGAAUUUUAGCUUUAACCUCUCAAAAAUUCUCUUAAUUCUCUUAAUUUCAAACCGUGAAUACCUUGGGAUGAGGGAUGAAAAUGAGCGCCAUUUUUAUCUUAAUUAAAUGCCAAGAAUUGUAAAAAAAUAGAAAAUAAAAAUGAAAGAUAAAGAAGGGAUAAUAUAAUUUUUGACCCCUAAACAUUCACUUUGGUAUUUUUACUUUUUUUGUUCACUUUGGCAGGGGCGAAUUUAGAAAUUUUUUUAACAAGGGGCGAAAUUAAUUAUAAUUUUUCAUAGAUAAAAAAAAGUUUAUUAUGUAUUAAUUUAUAAUUUCAUGAUUUUUGAAGGAAUUAAACAUAUUUUUUUCUUUUUUAGGGGGCUAAAGAGAAAUUUUACUAUAUAUUAUUUUAUAAUUUCUUUAUUUAUAAAAGGACUGAAAUGAAUUUUUUUCAUUUUGGGGGUCCAAAAUAAAAUUUUACUAUACAUUAAUUUUAAGAAUGUCAAAUUUAGUGCUUUAAUUACCGAACUUGAAUAGGUCAGAUCAUCGAUUCUUGAUUUGAUCAGUACAAUAAUUAAAUAAAUAAUUAAAAUUCAUUAAAUGUUCAAGUACCAAGUUUAAGUAUCAAAAUGAAUUUAGUUGUCAAAUUCAAAGACCAAAGUAAAAAAAAAAUACAAGUAUCAAAUAAAAUUUAAUUAUUAAGUUUAAGGGAUUUAAAGAGAAUUUUCAAAACAAAUUGAAGGGUCUUAAUUAAAAAUUCUAAAUUUUUUUAAGGGUAUAAUGAAAAUUUUCCUAAUUUAUAUAUUUACAAAAACUUGCUGAUAACCUGCGAACAUGAAAAAGGAAGCACAUAUAAAUUUAUCUUGAAAUGGAUUAAAUAGAAGUUCUUCUAAUUUUGGUGGCUAAAGUGUAAUUUUACUAUAUAAAAAUUAUAAUUUAAUGGUUUUUAAAGGGGUUGAAAUGUAAUUUUUCAUUUUUUGGGGGCGCCUAGGCACUACUUACCCCUUUGCAUUCACCCCCUAGUUGUAUUAAAAAAAACGUAAAAUUCUGCUAUUAAUCCAUGUACUCUAAGUAAGUUGUGGAUUUAGUCCCUAUAUUUUAACUUGAUCAAUUUUAGUUCCUUUACUUUUAGAAUUGGUCAACUUUAGUCUAUGUACUUUCUAUAUUUUGAAAUGUCAGUCCUGACCCAAUCGGUAUUAGUUAAAUCCAUGUUAGUUAUAUUUUUCUAUUAGUCCUAUACUAUACGUAAAGUUAUAAAUUUAGUCUAUAUUCUCUAAUUAGAUCAUUUUUAAUCCCUGCAAUUGGGUUAGUCACUUGGAGAUCCGGUUCACAAGCCAAUAACUCUGUCAAGACCGCCAUUGUUGAGUUGCUUAUAUAUGCUUGUACUUUGUUUCAAGUAAUUUUGUAAAUAUUUGUCUUUGGGAGCUAAAUUAUAUUUUUAUUAUUUAACUAAAUUAAUAAUUUUAAAAAUUUUGAAGGAUUAAAAUGAUAAUUAUUUUGAGGAGUCAAGGCCCCUACGUUUCCUCUUGGUGCCGUCCCUGUCCUUUGUAUUAAAAUUUCAAUAACAUUUCACAAUGAUUGCAGGGUGGUUAUAGACAUAUAGAUACAGCUUGGGAAUAUGGUGUUCAAGAAAGUGUAGUAUCUCUUUCUCCCCCAACAAUAUGAAAGUUGCAAAAUUUCAAUUUUCAUUAAACAAUAAUUUUAUAUUCCAUUAAAAAUUUUCAUUUUAUUUAUCAGGUUGGCCAUGGAGUCAAAGCAGCAAUACAAGCAGGAGUAGAAAGAAGGGAUCUUUUCAUUACAUCCAAGCUAUGGUGCACCGAGUUGAGUCCAGAACGAGUUUGACCUGCUUUAUUGAACACCCUCCAAGAACUCCAACUUGAAUACCUUGAUCUUUACCUGGUAAUCUGAUAAAAUGUCAUUGACAUCAACAUAUUCGACAAUGAAAUGCCUGAAAGACUUUUUAUUACAGAUACAUUGGCCAUUUAGGCUAGCAGAUGGAGCAAGCAGACCACCUAAACCAGGUGACGUACAAGAAAUGGACAUGGAAGGUGUUUGGAGAGAAAUGGAGAGACUUGUAAAAGACAAGCUGGUUAGAGACAUUGGUGUUGAAAGGUCAACAAAGGUAGGAAGCAACUUGUUAAAAAGGUUGAGCAAGUUGCACCGAAUGUUGAAAAGUUGAAUGGGAUAAUUGCAAUUUUGGUCCCUAAUUUUUUAGGCCAUUUGCAAGUUAGUCCCUGAACUUCAACUAUAAAUAGGCCUUUUCAUUUUUCAUUUCAACCAUCCCAACCAAUCUUUCUCUCUUAGUUUUCUCUCUUCUCCCAUUUGAGAAUUCUUAAGGAAUUCUAUUUGUUUGUAAUACUUUGAAGAUAGUAAAGUUAUCAUCUGGUGUUAGUGCCCGAGGACGUAGGUAUAAUUUACCGAACCUCGUUAAAACUCUUGUGUUCUUUCUUGUCCUAUUUUUCUUUCAAUAUUUGAGGGUAUAAUAGUAGUAUUUAAUUGUGCUAUUAAAUUACUAUAGAAGGGAUAUUCUGUCUAAGGAAAGACUUGGUAUUUAAGAGAUCCAUGUGAUCCAUCUCUCUUUCCUGGGAAUUGAACUUUGUGUGAUUUUUUAGUACAAUAAUUUACACGCUUCCGACCCUAUUGGAACAACAAGUGGUAUCAAGAGCCGAAGGUUAAUCGUAGUAUGCUCUGUGGUUUUAGUUUAAACUGAUCUUCCACAUUAGAAAAGAUUUCCUUAGGUAUAUUGAAAGAUUAUGGAGAAAACGGUCGGUGUAGGAGCUUCAACAUCGUCCAUGUGGACAAGACCGACAAUUGCAAAUGCAAGAUUGGCCGUGGAGAUCUUUGAUGGCACGGGCCAUUUUGGUAUGUGGCAAAGUGAGGUUCUAGAUGCCCUUUUUCAGCAGGGUCUAGACAUUGCCAUUGAUGAAGAGAAACCAGAUGAUGUACAGGAGAAAGAUUGGAAGGCGAUCAAUCGGUUGGCAUGUGGCACAAUUCGAUCAUGCAUUUCUCGAGAGCAGAGGUAUGCUUUUUCAAAGGAGACUUCUGCAAAUAAGUUGUGGGUGGCACUUGAAGAAAAAUUUUUGAAGAAAAACAGUCAAAAUAAGCUCCACUUGAAGAAAAGACUGUUUCGCUUCACAUACGUCCCAAGUACCACAAUGAAUGAUCACAUCACCAAAUUUAAUCAGUUAGUCACUGAUUUGCUGAAUAUGGAUGAGACAUUCAAAGAUGAAGAUUUGGCUUUGAUGCUGUUGGGGUCACUUCCUGAGGAGUUUGAGUUCCUAGAAACUACUCUACUUCAUGGCAGGAGUGAUAUAUCUCUGAGCGAAGUCUGUGCGGCCUUAUACAGUUAUGAACAGAGAAAGAAGGACAAACAGAAAAACUCAAUCAGAGAUACAGAAGCUUUAGUAGUCCGAGGUCGUUCAUACACUCGGAAGAAAACUCAAAAGGGGAGAUCAAAGUCAAAGUCCAGACUCGGAAAAGAUGAAUGUGCUUUUUUCAUGAGAAAGGCCACUGGAAGAAAAAUUGUCCAAAGCUGAAGAAUAAGGGAAAAGCUGCUGUAGAUGCUAGUGUUGCUAAGCAUGAUACUAGUGACUCUGAACUAUCACUGGUUACAUCAUCAUCGUCGUUCCAUUCAGAUGAGUGGAUAUUGGAUUCGAGUUGUACCUAUCAUAUGUCCCCUAACCGGGAGUGGUUCUCUGAUUUAGUAGAACUAAAUGGAGGAGUUGUUUAUAUGGGCAAUGACAAUGCCUGUAAAACUGUUGGGAUAGGUUCAAUCCAAUUAAAGAAUCAAGAUGGAUCAACCAAAGUUCUGACUGAUGUUCGGUACGUGCCCAGUUUGAAGAAAAAUCUCAUCUUAUUGGGAGCCUUGGAAUCUAAUGGUUCAGUUGUUACUAUGAGAGAUGGGAUUUUGAAAGUGACAUCUAGCGCACUUGUGAUAUUGAAGGGCAUCAGGAAAAAUAACUUGUAUUACUACCAAGGUAGUACAGUUAUUGGAGCAGUCGCUACAGCUUCCGGUAACAAAGAAUUGGACUCAAUGCAGUUGUGGCAUAUGAAGUUGGGACAUGCUAGCGAAAAAUCCUUGCAAAUUCUGGCAAAGCAAGGAUUGUUGAAAGGUGCAAAGGCUUACAAAUUAAAAUUUUGCGAGCAUUGUGUUCUGGGAAAGCAAAAGAGAGUGAAAUUCGGUACUGCUAUCCAUAAUACAAAAGGUAUUUUGGAAUAUGUUCACUCAGAUGUGUGGGGGCCUUCCAAGACACCUUCAUUGGGAGGAAAACACUACUUUGUUACUUUUGUUGAUGACUUUUCUAGAAGAGUUUGGGUGUAUACCAUGAGAACUAAGGAUGAAGUGCUUAGAGUUUUUCUUAAAUGGAAAACUAUGAUCGAAAACCAGACUGACAAGAAAAUCAAGCGGCUUAGGACGGACAAUGGAGGGGAAUAUAAAAGUGAUCCGUUCUUCGAUGUGUGCCAAGAGUAUGGUAUUGUUCGACACUUCACAGUUAGGGAUACACCACAGCAGAAUGGAUUGGCAGAGCGUAUGAAUCGAACAUUGCUGGAGAAAGUUCGAUGUAUGUUGUCCAAUGCUGGGUUGGGCAAGCAAUUUUGGGCUGAGGCUGUGACAUACGCUGGCCAUCUUGUUAAUCGUUUGCCAUCAUCUGCAUUAGAAAGAAAAACUCCUAUGGAGGUAUGGUCUGGAAAACCGGCUACAGAUUAUGAUUCCUUACAUGUGUUUGGAUCCACUGCAUAUUACCAUGUGAAGGAGUCAAAGUUAAAUCCGAGGGCAAAGAAAGCUCUCUUUAUGGGAAUCACUUCUGGAGUGAAGGGAUUUCGUCUUUGGUGCUUAAGCACAAAGAAAAUGAUCUGUAGCAGAGAUGUUACCUUUGAUGAAUCUGCCACAUUGAAAAAGGUAGCAGAUAAAGAUAUUCAGACGAGCAAUACUCCACAGCAGGUGGAGUGUACUCCAAAACAGGUGGAGUUUGAGCAGAUGGGGAUUUGCCCAGUUAAUAAGUCUAAUUCUCCAGCCACAAUGGAGGAAUUAGAGGUUGAAGAGGUUCUGACCCAAGAACCACUAAGUACACCAGAACCAGUUGCAGUUGCAAGGCCACGGAGAGAAAUUCGUAAACCUGCUCGAUUUACUGAUAUGGUGGCCUACGCCCUUCCCGUUGUUGAUGAUAUUCCUAUCACUUAUCAAGAAGCAAUGCAAAGCUUAGAAAGUGAUAAAUGGAAAAGCGCCAUGGAUGAAGAAAUGCAGUCUCUCCUGAAGAAUAAUACUUGGGAAUUGGCGCAAUUACCGAAAGGUAAAAGGGCAAUCGGAUGCAAGUGGGUAUUCGCAAAGAAAGAUGGAUCUCCUAGCAAGAAGGAUAUUCGCUACAAGGCAAGAUUGGUAGCUAAAGGCUACACUCAGAAGGAGGGAAUUGACUAUAAUGAUGUAUUUUCCCCUGUUGUGAAGCAUUCCUCCAUUAGAAUUUUGUUGGCCUUGGUAGCACAGUUGAAUUUGGAGCUAGCUCAACUUGAUGUUAAGACGGCUUUCUUGCAUGGUGAGUUAGAAGAGGAGAUCUAUAUGACUCAGCCCGAAGGAUACACAGAUGCUGGUGGUAGAAAUUGGGUUUGUAAGCUGAACAAAUCGCUAUAUGGAUUGAAGCAAUCCCCGAGGCAGUGGUACAAGCGGUUUGAUAGCUUUAUGAGAAGGUAGAAGUACACAAGAAGCAAAUAUGACAAUUGUGUAUAUUUGCAGAAGCUGCAUGACGGAUCUUUCAUUUAUCUACUCUUGUAUGUUGAUGAUAUGUUAAUCGCUUCGAAGAGCCAAAAUGAGAUAGAUAAGCUGAAGGCUCAGUUGAAUCAAGAGUUCGAGAUGAAAGAUCUAGGUGAGGCCAAGAAGAUUCUCGGCAUGGAGAUAAGUAGAGAUAGACCAAGAGGCAAGCUCUGUUUAAAUCAGAAGCAAUAUCUGAAAAAGGUAUUACAAUGUUUUGGUGUAAAUGAAAACACAAAACAUGUAAGUACCCCACUUGCUUCUCAUUUGAAACUUAGUGCUCAAUUAUCUCCGAAGACUGAAGAUGAAAGAGAAUAUAUGGCGAAAGUCCCAUAUGCUAAUGCAGUUGGGAGUUUGAUGUAUGCGAUGAUGUGUACGAGGCCUGACAUUUCACAAGCUGUUGGAGUUGUGAGCAGGUAUAUGCAUGAUCCUGGAAAAGGACAUUGGCAAGCUGUGAAAUGGAUUCUACGAUAUCUUCGAAAAAUCGUAGAUGUUGGUUUAAUUUUUGAACAGGAUGAAGCACUUGGUCAGUUUGUAGUUGGAUAUGUUGAUUCUGACUUUGCUGGUGAUUUAGAUAAACGUCGUUCAACUACGGGGUAUCUGUUUACUCUUGCGAAAGCCCCAGUGAGUUGGAAGUCUACCUUACAGUCUACAGUAGCUGUGUCUACUACAGAGGCAUAAUAUAUGGCAGUUACAGAAGCUGUUAAGGAGGCUAUUUGGCUUAAUGGAUUAUUGAAAGACUUGGGAGUUGUUCAAAGUCACAUUAGUCUAUAUUGUGACAGUCAGAGUGCUAUUUAUUUAGCGAAAAAUCAAGUCUAUCAUUCAAGAACCAAGCAUAUCGACGUAAGAUAUCACUUUGUGCGGGAAGUCUUUGAAAAAGGAAAAAUUCUACUUCAGAAGAUUCCGACAGCAGAUAAUCCCGCAGAUAUGAUGACCAAAGUGGUAACAACAAUCAAGUUUAAUCAUUGUUUGAACUUGAUUAACAUCCUGAGAAUUUGAACACCUACAGGUGUAUGGCGCUCGAAAGUGCAUUUAGAGGCACUACAAAAGAUAAUUUUAUCGAAUUUGGGGAGUUGAAGGAAGUGUGUGAAGAUGUGAUUAUCCUAAUCAAAUCUUCAAGGUGGAGAUUGUUGAAAGGUCAACAAAGGUAGGAAGCAACUUGUUAAAAAGGUUGAGCAAGUUGCACCGAAUGUUGAAAAGUUGAAUGGGAUAAUUGCAAUUUUGGUCCCUAAUUUUUUAGGCCAUUUGCAAGUUAGUCCCUAAACUUCAACUAUAAAUAGGCCUUUUCAUUUUUCAUUUCAACCAUCCCAACCAAUCUUUCUCUCUUAGUUUUCUCUCUUCUCCCAUUUGAGAAUUCUUAAUGAAUUCUAUUUGUUUGUAAUACUUUGAAGAUAGUAAAGUUAUCAUCUGGUGUUAGUGCCCGAGGACGUAGGUAUAAUUUACCGAACCUCGUUAAAACUCUUGUGUUCUUUCUUGUCCUAUUUUUCUUUCAAUAUUUGAGGGUAUAAUAGUAGUAUUUAAUUGUGCUAUUAAAUUACUAUAGAAGGGAUAUUCUGUCCAAGGAAAGACUUGGUAUUUAAGAGAUCCAUGUGAUCCACCUCUCUUUCCUGGGAAUUGAACUUUGUGUGAUUUUUUAGUACAAUAAUUUACACGCUUCCGACCCUAUUGGAACAACAAUUGAUGUGUGUAAUUUUAGAUUGAAGAAGAUGAACAAGUUGCUUGGUUUUGCUGAAACUAUGCCAUCUGUUUGUCAAAUGGAAAUGCAUCCUGGUUGGAGAAAUGAUAAGAUGUCGGAAGCUUGUAAACAGAAUGGCAUCCAUGUCACUGUAAGAUCUGAUCUAUCAUAUCAUAUAUUUGGAAUGAAUAAAUUAAUCAUUGGAUAUUCAUGAUGACGAUGAUGGAUUUGCAGGCAUAUUCACCACUUGGUUCACAAGAAGGUGGUAGAGACCUAAUCCAUGAUGAAACAGUGGAUAGAAUAGCAAAGAAGCUGAACAAAACACCAGGACAAGUGCUGGUAAAAUGGGCAAUACAAAGGGGAACCAGUGUCAUACCCAAAUCAAACAACCCUGAUAGGAUCAAAGAAAACAUUAAGGUGUUUGGGUGGGAAUUGCCACAAGAGGAUUUUCAAGCUCUUUGUAACAUCCCUGAUCAGGUAAUAAUAACAACAAUACAUAUCAGUUUAGUUUUGUAAUAAUUAAAACUUGGUUUGAAGGUUGAUUGAUGAAAGGGUCUUGUUUUGUUUUGUUUUUUUGCAGAAGAGAGUGUUGCAUGGAGAACAAUUGUUUGUGAACAAGAAUGCAGGGCCUUUAAGAAGUGUGGCUGAUGUAUGGGAUCAUGAAGAUUAGUAAUAAUAUAAUCCCAUUUUACAAUGUUGAUGUUCUUAUCAAUAAAUAAGAUGAUGAGGAUGAUGAUGAUGAUUCCAUGUGUGUUUGUAGUGAUGAUGAUAUGUUCUUAUAAAUAAAUUAUGUUGUUUCUAUACAGUAGUUUUUCUAGAAAUAUUUGGUGGCCAGACCUGGAUAGAGUUCUAAGCUACUAAUCACUCUGUCAUAGACACCAUUUACAACACUUAAUAGAGAACUGGAACUCAGGUGGUAUUUGGUUUCUUAGCAACAAAACCAAAUUUCUACCUGUCUGAAAAACACUUACAGAUCUUGAUAUUGUGAACAAUAAAUAUAAAUAUUUAUUUCUUAAAAUUAAUUAAUGAAUUAAAUAAAACAUGUAACUUUUUAAGUAAAUUGUAGUAGUUUUUAAAUUUGCAUAAUUAACAAAUUGAACUUUCAAUAUUUACCAAAAAAAAUUGACCUUCAACAUGUAGACAUUUUGUAAUUUAAUCCUCAUUUCAAAUGAUAUAAUGGGUAAAUAUUAAGAAUUAAAUUUAUUUUUAUGUCAAUUUUAAAAUUACCGCGUCAUCUUACUAUUAUCCAGUUACUGAAAUUGGACCAAAUGAAUAAAUUCUAUAAUAUCUAACUAAAACUCUUUAAAUUUGAGCUAAAAAUAACUUAUUUUAGUGUAAGAAUUUUAAUUUUAUCCUCUCACAAAUUCUCUUAAUUCUCUUAGUUUCAAAACGUGAAGAACUUGGGGAUAAGAGAUGAAAAUAAUCGCCAAUUUUCUGUUAAUUAAAUACCAAAAACUUGUUAAAAAUAGAAAAUGAAAAUGAAAGAUAAAGAAGGGAUAAUAUAAUUUUUGACUCCUAGACGUUCACCUUGGUAUUUAUGUUUUUUCUUUAUUCAGUUUGGUAGGGGAGAAUUCAGAAAUUUUUUAACAGGAGAUGAAAUUAAUUUUAAUUUUUCAUAGAUAAAAAAAAGUUUAUUAUGUAUUAAUUUAUAAUUCCAUCAUUUUUAAAGAGCCUAAAUAGAUUUUUUUCCAUUUUUUGGGGCUAAAUUGAAUUUUACUUUAUAUUAAUUAUAAUUUCUAUAUUUAUGAAAUGACUUAAAUGAAAAUCUUUCAUUCUGGGGUUAAAAUGCAAUUUCACUAGGUAUUGUAUUAAUUUAUAGUUUAUCUAUUUAUAAGAGGACUAAAUUGAAAAAAAAUCAUUUUGGGAGGGUCAAGGCCCAUGCCUGCCCCUGCAGAUUCGUUUUUGCACAUUUGCACCUAAACUUGACAAUUAAGUUCAUUUUGGUCUCUAAACUUAUAAAAGUUUGAUAAUGUGACAUACUAUAUUAUGCCAUAUCAGUAUGAACAUUAAAUAUAUAUAUAAAUUUUCAGGUGAUGAUGCGAUACAAUUUCAUAAUGUCACGUUCAUUAUUUUAAAAACUGGGCUUAAAUAGAUCAAAUCACCAAUUCUUAGUUUAAACAAUUUAAUUAAUACAACCAUUAAACCGACAAUAAUUACAUAAAUAAUUAAAAUUCAAAGUACAAGUAUCAAGUUUAACCAUUAAAGUAAAUCUAAUCCUCAAAUUCAAAUACUAAAAUAAACAAAAAUAAAAAAUACACUCAAAUUCAAAUAUAAAGACACAUUUAAAAUCAACAUUCGUUAUCUAAUACAUAAAGCAAGGAAUAAAGGAAAACAAAAAAGUAAAACAUAUAUUUUUAGUAUCAGCUAAUAUUCUCUUACUUAGACUACACUCAAACCCAUCGCAUCCCAUUCUUUGUAAUUAUACAGAAGAAACAUAUAUAGGUAUAGGCAACCCACCAUUGAAGCGAAAGUACCAUAGCAAGUUUAAACAGACUCCUACAAAUAAAGAUUUGGAAUCCUUCCCUUCUAAUUUUCUGCUUUGUUUGAGUUAUUCAAUUUCAAUUUUUUUUCUCUACCACGUCGAAAGAGACAGAAAGGCAGGAGAAAUGGAAGAGCUAAAGUACUAUGGGCAUCAACAUCCACUGUUGAUGUUAAAUGAAGAGCAGUUGAUUGACAAUGGCAAUGGAAUUGUUGAUUGCUCAAGGUGUGGGGAGAAGGUGUCAGCUCCAUGUUUUAGCUGUGUGGAGUGCUGUGGGUGUUACCUCCACAAGACAUGUGCCGAGGCACCUUUGGAGCUUAAUCAUCCUUUUCAUCGCCACCAUCCUCUCGUGCUUUUGCAGAAUCCACCAUCUUCUUACACAAGGUGCGUUUGCGAUUUCUGUAAUGAAACAUGUGAAAAAUUCAUUUACCAUUGCUCUUGUGGCUUGGACUUUCAUAUUAAAUGUGCUUUGUUUACAUUUAAUAUUGUUGAAAGAAAUUUGAAAGAGCUUGAGCAUGUUGCCCUUGAGGAUCCAUCGUUUUCCUCUAAAAACAAUGGUGGAAACCUGGGUAAGUGCUUUGGGUGUUGGGAACCAUUAGAAUUUUAUACAUACUUCUCUCUUGAUUGUGGGUUUAACUUGCAUAAGAAGUGUGCUGAUCUUCCUCUCAAAUUAGAUCAUUUGUGCCAUCGCAGGCAUCCUCUUGUUCUGCAAUUUAAUAGUGAACGGCUUUCUUGCAAAGUAUGCCAAGUAACCCAACAAAGAGGAAUUGUGUAUGGUUGUUCACCAUGUAAGUUGGCUAUUCACAUUGAUUGUGCAUCUCCAUUACCAGCUAUUGAAUAUAAAAGUCAUCAACACCAGUUCACCUUAUUUUGGAGACAAAAUCCAUUCAUUUGUGAUGCUUGUGGAACUGAAGGACAUCAUGUUGCCUAUACAUGUGGUACGUGCAGUAUUAUGGUCCAUAAAAAAUGCAUUUCAUUGCCACGCAUUAUCCGACACAAGUUGCAUAUCCAUCGUCUUUUUCACAAGUAUUUCAUUCACAAGGAAUAUUUUGAAAGUUUGAAUUGCAGAUGGUGCCAUGAAGUUGUUGAUACAGAGUACGGUAGUUACUUCUGUGCAGAUUGCAAUGUUAUAUUCCAUGUGAAUUGUGUAUUCAAAAAACAGGAGUGGUAUUGCAUAGUGUCACAGGAAAAUGAAGAAGACAAGUCUCUUGAUAUACCUGUUAACUCCAUCACUAAGGUUCUUGAGAGGAAUGAUGAUGGAGAAGCCACAGUAAUAGAACAUUUCAAGCAUAAGCACUACUUGAUGUUAAGUGACAACAUCAGAGAGCAUGGUGAUAAAUGUUGUGAUGGGUGCUUGUUAUUGAUCUCCGCUAAGUUCUAUCAUUGCUCGGGGUGUGAUUUCUUUCUUCAUAAAUCUUGUGCUGAAUUACCUAAGAUAAGGCUUUUCUCGGUACAUGUUUAUUGUGAAGAAGAGCCUUUUUCUGGAUCAAAACCCCUCAUUCUUACUUCAGACUGCAUGUUCAAAUGUGACGGAUGCGGGUACCUUUCUAAUGGAUUUUCUUAUAAAUGUAAUAAAUGUGGAUUUGACAUGUGCCUUCGAUGUGCAGCUCUAGUUCUCCAAGAUGCUGUGAAAAUUCCAGGGCAUAAACACCCUAUUCUUUACUAUUAUGAUUAUGAGGGGCAGUGUAGUGCUUGUGGGAGGGGUACCAUUUCCGCAAUUAGUUGUAAGGAUUGUAAUUUUGAUUUAUGCGGUUCGUGUGUUAUGCGACACAAAUGCGAUGAACAUCUUCUUACACUCACUUAUGACAAGAUUAAUGAUUAUACAAAAUAUCAUUAUUGUGACAUUUGUGAGAAAGAAAGGGAUCCAAAGCACUGGUUUUACUAUUGCGAAACUUGUGACAUUUCUACUCACGUGGAUUGCGUUCUUGGAGGAUACCCAUUCAUCAAACUUGGGAGCACCUACAAUGAGAGAAACCAUGAGCACCCUCUCACUUUUGUCAAGAAGAUUCAUUACUAUCCUGAAUGUGUUAAAUGUGGUAAGCCUUGUGAAGAUCUUUCUCUUGAAUGUGCAGAACCAGGAUGUAACUAUAUUGCUCACUGGAAAUGCAGAAAACUAGCAACCCGUGGUAGGUACUGAAAAUUGCGGCUUCAGUUUCACAAUAAGAUAGUGUAUGGUGGUUGUUAAUGGUUACUACUUUUUAUUUGUGUGUUUAAAUAAUGUAAUAUUUUUUAUGUUUGAACUCUAAAUAUAUGAGAAUAAAAUUGAUAUGAUUUGCUUAUUUCUUGUUUAAUUUUCAUAUAAUAAUUUUGUUGCAUGCUAAGUAAAAUCAUAAUAAUAGAAGAAUAUGGACCUUGAUUAAAUGGAACAAUUUAAUUUUAGUCUUUCUAAAAUAUUAAAAAUUCAAUUUAAUCCUUUUUAAUUUUUUUUUGUUAAAUGAAAAUUUUUCAUUUUUGAUCCUUUCAAAAGUUUAAUAUUUAUUUUAAUGCAAAGAAUUUUAGCUUUAACCUCUCAAAAAUUCUCUUAAUUCUCUUAAUUUCAAACCGUGAAUACCUUGGAUAAGGGAUGAAAAUGAGUGCCAAUUUUCUCUUAAUUAAAUACCAAAAAUUGUAUAAAAAAAAGGGGAAAAAAAUGAAAGAUAAAGAAGGGAUAAUAUAAUUUUUGACCCCUAAACAUUCACUUUGGUAUUUGUACUUUUUUUUUGUUCACUUUGGAAGGGGCGAAUCUAGAAAUCUUUUUAACAAGGGGCGAAAUUAAUUAUAAUUUUUUCAUAGAUAAAAAAAUAAGUUUAUUAUGUAUUAAUUUAUAAGUUCAUGAUUUUUGAAGGAAUUAAACAUAUUUUUUUUCAUUUUCAGGGGGCUAAAGAGAAAAUUUGCUAUAUAUUAAUUUAUAAUUUUUUAUUUAUAAAAGGAUUGAAAUGAAUUUUUUUUCAUUUUGGGGGGCUAAAAUAAAAUUUUAUUACACAUUAAUUUUAAGAGUGUCAAAUUUAGUGUUUUAAUAAUUGAACUUGAAUAGGUCAAAUCACUGAUUCUCGAUUCGACGUUGGACCAACAAUAAUUAAAUAAUUAAUUAAAAUUCAUAAAAUAUUCAAGUACCAAGUUUAAGGAUCAAAAUGAAUUUAGUUGUCAAAUUCAAAGACCAAAGUAAAAAAAAUAAAAGUAUCAAAUAAAAUUUAUUUAUUAAGUUUAAGGGCCAAAAACUAUAUUAUCCCAAUAAAGAAAGGUAGAUAGAUUCGUAGGAAGAUCUUAUUGGGACGGCAAUGGCCUUUUUUUACCAAGAAAAAUAGGUUUAGACAAAUUGCAUCAAUUUUUUGAGACCUUUUUUGUGGAAUGGUCAUAAAAAGACUUUGGCCAUUCAAAUAAAAUUGACUUUAUGUUUUGUUUGGUACAAAAAAUUGACUUUAUUCUAAUGCAAAUUCAAUAUUCGAAUUAUAUUAGCUUAUUGAGUUUUAGUUCGAUUGGUAUGGUAUUGUUCUCAAUACAGGAGGAUAGGGUUUAAGUGCAUUGAAGCGCAUUAUCCCUAUAUUUAUCGGUUGAGAAGGGAUAUUGGUAGUUCUAGGUAUUGUGUCAAAAAGAGUAGAGCAUAUAUGAUCAAAACAUUUAAUGAGAUUGUUAAAAAAUAUAUUCAAAAUAUAUUAAUAAUUUUAUUUGAUUUUUGAAAAUAUAUUUUAUUUAAAAAACCAAUUUUUCAAGAAAAUGAAAACGAAAAUAGUCUUUAUUUAUUGAAAUCAAAUGGAGCUUAAAUUCACAAUAUCACACUUUAGUGUUUUAAUUAAGUUCUUUUAAAAUAGGGAUUUAAAGAGAAUUUUUAAAAAAUUUGAAGGGUCAUAAUUAAAAGUUUUAAAAUUUUUUAAGGGUAUAAUGAAAAUUUUCCUAAUUUAUAUAUUUACAAAAACUUGCUGCGAACAUGAAAAAGGAAGCACAUAUAUACAAGGGCACAUAUAAAUUUAUUUUGAAAUGGAUUAAAUAGAAUUUUUUUUUUUCAUUUUGGUGGCCAAAGUACAAUUUUACUAUAUAUAAAUUCAUAAUUUAAUGGUUUUUAAAAGGGUUGAAAUGUAAUUUUUCAUUUUUUGGGGGGCGCCUAGGGCACUACUUACCCCUUUGCAUUCACCCCUAGUUGUAUUAAAAAAAGAGAGUAAAAUUCUGCUAUAAUUAAUUCAUGUACUCUAAGUAAGUUGUAGAUUUAGUCAUUAUAUUUUAACUUGAUCAAUUUUAGUUCUUUUACUUUUAGAAUUGAUCAACUUUAGUUUAUGUACUUUCUAUAUUUUGAAAUGUCAGUCCUGAGCCAAACGGUAUUAGUUAAAUUCUUGUUGGUUAUACACAAAAUUAUAAAUUUAGUUCAUAUUCUCCAAUUAAUUCAUUUUUAAUCACUGCAAUUGGGUUAGUCACUUAGGGAUUCGGCUCACAAGCCAAUAACUCCGUCAAGACCGCCAUUGUUGAGGUACUUGUACUUUGUUUCAAGUAUUUUUGUAAAUAUUUGUCUUUGGGAGCUAAAUUAUAUUUUUAUUAUUUAACUAAAUUUAUAAUUUUAAAAAUUUUGAAGGAUUAAAAUGAUAAUUAUUUUGAGGAGUCAAGGCCCCUACGUUUCCUCUUGGCGCCGUCCCUGUUCUUUGUAUUAAAUUUUCAUUAACAUUUCACAAUGGUUGCAGGGUGGUUAUAGACAUAUAGAUACAGCUUGGGAAUACGGUGUUCAAGAAAGUGUAUGUAUCUCUUUCUCCCCCAACACUAUGAAAGUUGUAAAUUUUCAAUUUUCAUGAAACAAUAAUUUUAUAUUCCAUUAAAACUUUUCAUUUUAUUUAUCAGGUUGGCCAUGGAGUCAAAGCAGCAAUACAUGCAGGAGUAGAAAGAAGGGAUCUUUUCAUUACAUCCAAGCUAUGGUGCACCGAGUUGAGUCCAGAGCGAGUUCGACCUGCUUUAUUGAACACUCUCCAAGAACUCCAACUUGAAUACCUUGAUCUUUACCUGGUAAUCUGAUCAAAAUGUCAUUUACAUCAACAUGUUCGACGAUGAAAUGCCUGAAAGACUUUUCAUUGCAGAUACAUUCGCCAUUUAGGCUAGCAGAUGGAGCAAGCAGACCACCUAAACCAGGUGACGUACAAGAAAUGGACAUGGAAGGUGUCUGGAGAGAAAUGGAGAGACUUGUAAAAGACAAGCUGGUUAGAGACAUUGGUGUGUGUAAUUUUAGAUUGAAGAAGAUGAACAAGUUGCUUGGUUUUGCUGAAACUAUGCCAUCUGUUUGUCAAAUGGAAAUGCAUCCUGGUUGGAGGAAUGAUAAGAUGUCGGAAGCUUGUAAACAGAAUGGCAUCCAUGUCACUGUAAGAUCUGAUCUAUCAUAUCAUAUAUUUGGAAUGAAUAAAUUAAUCAUUGGAUAUUCAUGAUGAUGAUGAUGGAUUUGCAGGCAUAUUCACCACUUGGUUCACAAGGAGGUAGGGACCUAAUCCAUGAUGAAACAGUGGAUAGAAUAGCAAAGAAGCUGAACAAAACACCAGGACAAGUGCUGGUAAAACGGGCAAUACAAAGGGGAACCAGUGUCAUACCCAAAUCAAACAACACUGAUAGGAUCAAAGAAAACAUUAAGGUGUUUGGGUGGGAAUUGCCACAAGAGGAUUUUCAAGCUCCUUGUAACAUCCCUGAUCAGGUAAUAAUAACAACAAUACAUAUCAGUUUAGUUUUGUAAUAAUUAAAACUUGGUUUGAAGGUUGAUUGAUGAAAGGUUUUGUUUUGUUUUUUUUUGCAGAAGAGAGUGUUGCAUGGAGAACAAUUGUUUGUGAACAAGAAUGCAGGGCCUUUAAGAAGUGUGGCUGACAAUAAAUACGAUGAUGAUGAUGAUGAUGAUGAUGAUGAUGAUGAUGAUGAUUCCAUGUGUGUUUGUAGUGAUGAUGAUAUGUAACCAAAAAUACUUAGAUUUGAAAUAAAAAUAAAUAAAUCCUGUUUGAGAAAAGAAGGUCCACAGAUUUUAUAGUCAACGAAUAAAGGGUUGAUUUAUAAGAAGAAGAUGGACCUGGCAGGCAGGUAGGCUUUUUGAUUAAAUGUUACAAUUUAAUUUUAGUUUUUUUAAAUAUUAAAAAUUCAAUUUAAUCCUUUUUAAUUUUUUUAAAUAAUUUUUUUUCAUUUUUGACCCUUUCAAAGUUUCAAAACGUGAUAAGAGAUGAAAAUAAGCUCCAAUUUUCGCUUAAUUAAAUACCAAAAUUUGUUAAAAUAGACAAUAAAAUGAAAGAUAUAGAAGGGAUAAUAUAAUUUUUAUCCCACAACUAGGUUUAUUUUGGUAUUUUUAAGUUUUUUUAUUCGGGUGAAUCCAUAAAUUUUUUUAACAGCGCCAAAAUUAAUUGUAAUUUUUUAUAAAUAAAAAAAGUUUAUUAUGUAUUAAUUUAUAAUUCUAACAUUUUUAAAGGGUUUAAACUGAAUUUUUUUCAUUUUUAAGGGCUAAACUGAAAAUUUUUAUUUAUAUUAAUUAUAAUUUCUUUAUUUAUAAAAUGACUUAAAUGAAAAUAUUAUAUUUUAGGGUCAAAAUGUAAUUUCAAUAGGUAUUAAUUUAUAGUUUAUCUAUUAUAGGAGGACUAAAUUGAAAAAAAUCAUUUUUGGGGGACAAGGCCCUUGCUUUGCCCCUUCCAGUCCGCUUUUGUACAUUUACACAUGAACUUAACAACUAAGUCCAUUUUGAUGUCUGAACCUAAAAAUUAUAAAUGUUCGAUAAUGUGACACUUUAAUAUUAUGACAUAUCAACAUUUGAAAAUUAAAAUAUAUAUGUAUAUAUAAAUUUUUAGGUGAUAAUAGCAGUACAAUCUUUCAGUGUUUUAAUAACUAGGCUUGAAUAGGUUAGAUCACCAGUUCUCAAUUUAAUCAAUUCGAUCAAUACAACCAUUAAACCAACAAUAAUUAUAUAAAUAAUUAAAAUUCAUAAAAAAAAUACAAAUAUCAAGUUUAACUAUCAAAAUAAAUUUAAUUAUUAAAUACAAAUAUUAAAAUAGACAAAAAUAAAAAAUAUACUCAAAUUUAAAUAUCAAAACAGAUCCCACAUCAACAUUCAUUAUCUAAUACACAAAGCAAGGAAUAAGGAAAACAAAAAGUAAAACAUAUAUAGGUAUAGGCAACCCACCAUUGAAGCAAAGUACCAUAGCAAGUUUAAACAGACUCCUACAAAUAAACAUUUGGAAUCUCUCCCUUCUAAUUUUCUGCUUUCUUUUACUUAUUCUAUUUCAACUUUUUUUCUCUACCACAUCGAAAGAGACUGAGAGGAAGGAGAAAUGGAAGAGCUAAAGUACUAUGGGCAUCAACAUCCACUGUUGAUGUUAAAUGAAGAGCAGUUUGGAGUUGUUGAUUGCUCAAGGUGUGGGGAGAAGGUGUCAGCUCCAUGUUUUAGCUGUGUGGAGUGCUGUGGGUUUUACCUCCACAAGACAUGUGCCGAGGCACCUUUGGAGCUUAAUCAUCCUUUUCAUUGCCACCAUCCUCUCGUGCUUUCGCAGAAUCCACCUUGCGCUUCUUAUGAAAGGUGCGUUUGCGAUUUCUGUGAUGAAACAUGUGAGAAAUUCAUUUACCAUUGCUCUUGUGGCUUGAACUUUCAUAUUAAAUGUGCUUUGUUUACAUUUAAUAUUGCUGAAAGAAAUUUGAAAGAGCUCGAGCAUGUUGCCCUUGAGGAUCCAUCGUUUUCCUCUAAAAACGAUGGUGGAAACCUGCGUAAGUGCUUUGGGUGUUGGGAACCAUUAGCAAUUUAUACAUACUUCUCUCUUGAUUGUGGGUUUAAUUUGCAUAAGAAAUGUGCUGAGCUUCCUCUCAAAAUGGAUCGUUUGUGCCAUCGCAAACAUCCUCUUGUUUUGCAAUUUAAUUGUGAACGGCAUGCUUGCAAAGUAUGCCAAUUAACUCAACGAAGAGGAUUUGUGUAUGGUUGUUCACCUUGUGAGUUGGCUAUUCACAUUGAUUGUGCAUCGCCAUUACCAGUUAUCGAACAUAAAAGUCAUCAACACCCAUUCACCUUGUUUUGGAGACAAAUUCCAUUCAUUUGUGAUGCUUGUGGCACUGAAGGACAUCAUGUUGCCUAUAUAUGUUGGACAUGCAGUAUUAUGAUCCAUAAAAAAUGCAUUUCAUUGCCACGCACUAUCCAACACGCGUUCCAUGUCCAUCGUGUUUUUCACACGUAUUUCAUUCGCAAGGAAUAUUUUGAAAGUUUGAAUUGCUUAUGGUGUCAUGAAGUUGUCGAUACAGAACUCGGUAGUUACUUCUGUGCAGAUUGCAAUGUUAUAUUCCAUGUGAAUUGUGUAUUCAAAAAACAGGAGUGGUAUUGCAUAGUGUCACAGGAAAAUGAAGAAGACAAGUCUCUUGAUAUACCUGUUAACUCCAUCACUAAGGUUCUUGAGACGAAUGAUGAUGGAGAAGCCACAGUAAUAGAACAUUGCAAGCAUAAGCACUACUUGAUGUUAAGUGACAACAUCAGAGAGCAUGGUGAUAAAUGUUGUGAUGGGUGCUUCUUAUUUAUCUCCCCCAAGUUCUACCAUUGCUCGCGAUAUGAUUUCUUUCUUCAUAAAUCUUGUGCUGAAUUGCCUAAGAUGAAGCUUUUUUCGAAACAUAAUAUUUGUGGAGAAACGGAAUUUUUUUCUGGAUCAAAACCCUUUAUCCUUACUUCAGACUGCAUGUUCAGUUGUGAAUUGUGCGAGUACCUUUCUAAUGGAUUUUCUUAUAAAUGUAAUGAAUGUGGAAGUCAGAUAUGCCUUCGAUGUCUUGAUCUAUUUCUCCAAGAUGCUGUAAAAAUUCCAGGGCAUAAACACCCUCUUCUUUUCUAUUAUGAUUAUGAGGAGCAGUGUUGUGCUUGUGGGAGGGAUAUCAUUCGCGCAUUUUGUUGUAAGGAUUGCAAUUUUCAUAUAUGCAAUUUGUGUGUUAUACGACCAACUAGAGUUAGACACAAAUGUGAUGAACAUCUUCUUAUACUCACUUAUGAUAAGAUUAAUGAUUAUGUAAAAUAUCAUUAUUGUGACAUUUGUGAGAAAGAAAGGGAUCCAAAGCUCUGGUUUUAUCAUUGCAAAACUUGUGACACUUCAGCUCACGUGGAUUGCGUUCUUGGAAAAUAUUCAUUCAUCAGACUCGGGAGCACCUACAAUGAGGGAAACCAUCAACACCCUCUCACUGAAAAUCUUUCUCUUGAAUGUGCAGAACCCAGAUGUAACUAUAUUGCUCACUGGAAAUGCAGAAACCAGCAAUCCGUGGUAGGUACUAAAAAUUGCGGCUUCAGUUUCACAAUAAAACAGUGUAUGGUUGUUGUUAAUGGUUACUACUUUUUAAUUAUGUGUUUAAAUAAUGUAAUGUUUUUAAGUUUGAACUCUAAAUAUAUGAGAAAAAAAUUAAUAUGAUUUGCUUAUUUCUUGUUUAAUUUUCAUAUAAUAAUUUUGUUGCAUGCUAAGUAAAAUCAUAAUAAUAGAAUGUUAAUUAUUAUUUUCCUUAGAUUCCAUGAAUAAUUAGUCCUUAUGUGCUACCUUCCAUAUUUAUAUAAGUUGAAUAUAGUUAGAUGUAAAAAUAAUUGUUUACAAUCCGUUUGUUUCCUGAAAAUUUUAUUUAGAAUUGAUGUAAAAUAUUUUCAUUAAUUUGAUAAAUUUUCUGAAAAUAUUUCAUAAAAGAUAUUUUCAAAGAAACAAAUAUACUUCAAUGAAUAAAGAGUUGAUUUAUUAGACGAAUAUGGACCUUGAUUAAAUGGUACAAUUUAAUUUUAGUUCUUCUAAAAUAUUAAAAAUUCAAUUUAAUCCUUUUUAAUUUUUUUUGUUAAAUGAAAAGUUUUCAUUUUCAAUCUUUUCGAAAGUUUAAUAUUUAUUUUAAUGCAAGAAUUUUAGCUUUAACCUCUCACCAUGAAUACCUUGAUAUAAUGGAUGAAAAUGAGCCCCAAUUUUCUCUUAAUUAAAUACCAAAAAUUGUAAAAAAAAUAGAAAAUAAAAAUGAAAGAUAUAGAAGGGAUAAUAUAAUUUUUGACCCCUAAACGUUUACUUUGAUAUCUGUACUUUUUUUUGUUCACUUUGGCAGGGGCAAAUUUAGAAAUUUUUUUAACAAGGGGCGAAAUUAAUUAUAAAUUUUUCAUAGAUAAAAAAAAUAAGUUUAUUAUGUAUUAAUUUAUAAUUUCAUGAUUUUUGAAGGAAUUAAACAUAUUUUUUUCAUUUUUAGUGGGCUAAAGAGAAAUUUUACUAUAUAUUAAUUUAUAAUUUCUUUAUUUAUAAAAGAAUUGGGAUGAAUUUUUUUCAUUUUGGGGGCCAAAAUAAAAUUUUACUACACAUUAAUUUUAAGAGUGUCAAAUUCAAUGUUUUAAUUACCGAUGUAAUGGCCCAUUUUCAGUAAAAUUGGAAUAGUGGUUUCGUGACCAUAAAUCCGAUCUAGAAAGAAAAUUUAUUUUAAUAUUGUGGCAUAAUCUAUAUUACGAUAGGAAUAUUGCAUGAAAAUUUUGAUAGGAAAAUUUUAUUGAUUAUAUAGUUAAAUUGAUAAAAAGAGAAAAGAAAAAAAUGCAUUCUCGGGACUCCGUUCCGAUAAAUUGGAUUCGUAAAUAUUUAUUAUAAAUAUUUAGGAAGCUAGUUGUGUGUCUAAUUAGGUUUUGAUUAGGUGAAUUCGACUUAAUUAGAAGUAAUUAGGAAAAAGGAUUAGAUUGAAAUAAGUAUGAAAGUUUAAUUAUAGAUUAAAGAAAAUAAAAAAGACUAAAUAAGUACAUAUGCUAUUAUUAUAAAAUGAGGCGGUUUAACGUUAAAUGAAAAAGAAAAUCUAAGAUAUUUUUGAUAUAAAAUAUAUAUUAUAUUAACUUAAUAUUUAAGUAUUAAUAUAUAAUAUAUUAUAUAAAACAUAAAGUAAAGUAAAGUAAAGAAACAGAAGAAAAAGAAGAAACAAAACAGAAUAGCAAGGACGAAAUAGAGAAAGAGGGAGAAAGAAAAAGAAAAAGAAAAUUUGAGAUUUCAAGGGUUCAAAUUCAAUUUGGUAAAUCAAUUUAAUUCAUUUUCUUGUAAUUAUUGAGUUUUUAUAAUCCUAGAACAAAAUACUAUUAGGUAUAUGUUGAAAUUUUGAGAGUUAGUAGAUUUUUUUAUAUAGUUUAUGUUGAAUUUAUGGAUAAAUUAGAGAUUGAGCUUAUGAAAAAUUCAAAUUAGAAUUGAGAAAAAAGAUUGAAUUGUGAAAUAGAUUGCAAUAAGGAGUAAAUUAUAAGAAGUUUGAAAUUGGGGUUUAUUAGUGAAAAUUUGGGAGUUAAACUAAGUUUUAAGUAGCAUUUAAAUAAAAAUAAAGUAUAGAUUGUAAUAGAAAUGGAAAUAAUUUUAGUUAUGGAAUAAAUUGAAAUGUAAGUUAUUGUAAGAAAUGAUGAAUUUAUUAUAUCAUACAUGUUUAUUUUUUUUAAUAGCAUAGGAAAGUCAUUUAAUUAUUUUUCUCUAACAUAUAAAUGUUAUAUGUUUUAUAUGAAAUUGAAGAGAAAGAAAAGAAAGGAGAGGACCUAAUUGAAGAAAAAGGAAAAGAGAAGGCUAAGGAGUGAAGGAAUACAUCAUCUCAAUCUUUUGGUUGUAAGUACUACAAGAUUUUUUUUAAAUUAAUUUUAUUUAGAUGUAUUGUUGUAUAGAAUUAUUUAGAAAUAAAAAUGUAAUACAUAUGUAUAUAUUUAAAUUUAUAAGUAAAUAAUAAUAAUAAUAAUAGAUUAUGGAAUUGUGAAAUUAUGAAAUUUGAAAAGAAAAUUAUAAUUGGAGAAUAUAAGAAGUUGUAUUGUUUGAACAUUAAGUAAUAAUGUUGUGACAAAAGUAUAUGUGUGAAAAAGAUGUGAUAUUUGUUAAUUGUGUAAUAUGCACUAAAUUGUAAUGAUGAAGAAAUGAGAAAUCUUUUUCGAGAUAUUUAUGUAAUGUAUUUAAAUGUAUGAAAUUCAGUUUUAAUGCCCAAGUAGAUGAGUUUAGAACUACUAGGAUAUUAGUGGCAUGCCAUUAAGGAACUCUAGUGCGCUCUCUAAUUAUUACCACAUUAGUGCUCUCCGUUCUAUUAUUAGCACGUUAAGUGCUCUCUGUUCGCUUGUGCAUAAUAAUAUGCACUUCUGUAUUUGUUCCGUAUAUUCAGUGUGUUCUAUAAAGUCUACUUUGGGCUAAAGUUAUAAGUUGUGAACCAAAGCGAAUUAUCAAUGUACUAAGGUAAGUUUUAUAACUUAUAUAAUAAUAAAUUAAAUUUUGUUAAUAUAAGAUACAACUAAAGAAACUUAUAUGCAUAUAAAUAUAUAUUGAUCAAAUUAUAAUAUUUUAAUAGGAUUUAUUUGUCUAUUUAUUCUUGUAGUGCUUGCUAAGUCUUCACCGGCUUAACGCGUUUAAUUUUAACGCGUAGGUACAGUUAGACUCGAAGAGGUAGAGUCGGCUAGAAGAUCUCUCAUCUCAUCACAUCCUCAAGAGCUUCAUAAGUAGGUACCAUAUUUUGAAUUAAAAGUGGCAUGUACAUAGGUGUUAUUUUGAUCACAUUAGAAUGUUACAAGACUUUUGUUACAAAAAAAAAUGAUAUUUAGUAUUUUAAUGUUUAUACUAAUGAAAUGGUAUAAAAGUUUAUAUAGUAUAUAUAUAUGGUAUUGGUUGUUUUUGGUUUGAACUUGCAGGGGGUUUUAUACAAAAUAAGCAAAAAUGCUGCCGAAAUUUAAAAAAAAAUUACGUUCCACUCCUAAUACGUAUUUUGGGCCUCGAGGGUCUAUUAUAAAGACUUAAAAGUUAAACUAUGCUAUGAAUGUUAUUUAUUUAUGAAUUAUUUCUAAGUUGUCCAAUAUAUCCGAUAAUGCUCCGUAACCCUAAUCCGAUGAUGAUUUAGGGUUUAAAGGUGUUACAACCGAACUUGAAUAGGUCAGAUCACUGAUUUUUAAUUCAAUCAGUACAACCGUUGGACCAAUAAUAAUUAAAUAAAUAAUUAAAAUUCAUAAAAUGUUCAAGUACCAAGUUUAAGGACCAAAAUGAAUUUAGUUAUCAAAUUCAAAGACCAAAGUAAAAAAAAAUACAAGUAUCAAAUAAAUAUUAAUUAUUAAGUUUAAGGGUCAAAAACUAUAUUAUCCCAAUAAAGAAAGGUAGAUAGAUUCGUGGUCCCAAUGACCUUUUUUUUUUUUUACCAAGAAAAAUAGGUUUAGACAAAUUGCAUCAAUAUUUUGAGACCUUUUUGGUGGUAUGAUCAUAAAAAGACUUUGGCCAUUCAAAUAAAAUUGACUUUAUUUUAAUGCAACUUCAAUAUUCGAAUUAUAUUAGUUGAUUGAGUUUUAGUUCGAUUGGUAUGGGUAUUAGUUCUAAUGCAGGAAGACGUGGGUUUGAGUGCGUUGAAACGCAUUAUCCUCCUAUUUAUGGGUUGAGAAUGGGCUAUGGAUAGUUCUAGACAUUGUAUCAAAAAGAGCAAAGCAGAUAUGAUCAGAAUCUAUCAUGAGAUUGUUAAAAAUAAUAUUCAAAUUAUAUUAAUAAUUUUAUUUGUUUUUUGAAAAUAUUUUUUAUUUGAAAAACCAGUUUUUCAAGAAAAUGAAAAUGACAAUAGUCUUUAUUUAUUGAAAUCAAACUAAGCCUAAAUUCACAAUAUCACACUUUAGUGUUUUAACAUUAAGUUUUGAGGGGAUUUAAUUAAGUUAUUUUAAAAUUAGGGAUUUAAAGAGAAUUUUCAAAAAAUUUGAAGGGUCUUAUUUAAAAGGUUUAAAAUUUUUUAAGGGUAUAAUGAAAAUUUUCCUAAUUUAUAUAUUUACAAAAACUUGCUGAUAACCUGCUAACAUGAAAAAGGAAGCAAAUAUAUACAAGGGCACAUAUAAAUUUAUUUUGAAAUGGAUUAAAUAGAAUUUUUUUUCAUUUUGGUGACCAAAGUGCAAUUUUACUAUAUAUAAAUUUAUAAUUUAAUGGUUUUUAAAGGGGUUGAAAUGAAAUUUUUCUUUGUUUUGGGGCGCCUAGGGCACUACUUAGCCCUUUACAUUCACCCUUAGUUGUAUUAAAAUAAAUUUUAGUUCCUUUGCUUUUAGAAUUGGUCAAACUUUAGUCUAUGUACUUCCUAUAUUUUGAAAUCUUGAUCUAAACGGUAUUAGUUAAAUCCAUAUUGGUUAUAUUUUGCUAUUAGUCUUAUACUAUAUGCAAAGUUAUAAAUUUAGUCUAUAUUCUCUAAUUAGAUCAUUUUUAAUCCUAUAUUUCUCGAAUUUCAAAAUUUUAGUAUUGACUCCAUUAACGGAAUUUUUUAUAAAUAUUAUUUGAAAAUAACAAGCUAACAUGACAUGAUACAUAUGAUAAUAUAUUUGCCACGUAAGAUUUCUGAAAAAAAACAUAACUAAACUUAAUGAACUUAACGGCUACAGUUUAGUUAAUUAAGACUAAAAUUUUAAAAUUCGAAAAAUAAAGGGACAAAAAUACCAAAUUAUAGUGAUAUAAUCCCAACUUAUACAUAAUAUAGGGACUAAUAGUAAAAUAUAACCAAAAAACUAAAUUACAAUAAACCCCCCCAAAAGAAAACAAUAAAACAAUAAAAAUGUAUGAAUAUUUCAAAAUUUAUACAUAAGGUGUAAAAAUUUUAUAUAUUACCUUAAAUAAUAACAAAUACAACCUUUGGUAAUUGUUUUCUGCAAAAAUAAUGUGAAUAUAUAUAUAUUGCUAAAAAUCAUAAAAUUAAAAAAACCAGACAGCCUAUGAUUCUGUAAUAAUUGUAUGUACAUUAUAUAACCACAAAAACUAACUGAUCUAAAAAUUGGGAAAAAUAUUUUUUUUAAAUCUAUACCAAAAAAUGAAGAACAAAUUCGUAUAAGUGGCAGCUAGUUGUUGAUGUCGUUGAUUCCUUUGCUAGGUGCAGAAGGUGGUAUCGGUACUCCCUUGGGAAGCAUGCUGAAGAUCAUCGGACCAUAUUUUCCUGCGAGUCUUUGAGUCGGAGACUUAAGGAUUCCGACGUGGGGUUUCUUCAUGGGAACCAUAUGAAUAUCACAUGGCUGAGGUUGAGGCUCAGGGUCUUGUUUCGAUACGUCGAGAACGACGUCGGUUUUGUGGUCUUCGACUUCGACGAGAUCGGCUAAAGCAAGGUCCAAGGUUGUCUCCGUGGUGGACGGCGGCGAGUCGCUCAAGAGCCUGGCGGAAGAUGGCGAUGUAGAGAUGGUGAAGAUGAAGAAUAAGAGGAGCACGGCCGCGAGGUAUUUGGAUUUAUAGAAGGUAGCCAUUAAUGGACAAUUGUUGGAGGAUUAAUUUGAAAGUUUUUUUGGGUUUAAAGGGCUUCUUUUUGACGAUUAAUUUGAAGGGGUUUUGAGGGUUUAUAUAGCACAUGAAAUGGAAAUUCGCUGUCUUCAGAGUUGACAAAGUCUGUUUGGGUUUCGAGAAAACUAUGACAAGUUCACGCGCUUGACAUUUCUUUCAUUUUCUUGGUAAGCAAGUCACCUAAUUUGCUGAUUUUUUUCCUUUGGUUAAUUGACAUGGAAGCCCUUGUAUUAAGAGUUGAAUUGCAUUUUACCUUACUUAAAAAAUAGACAAAUUAAUCCCUAUAUGUUAAAUAAAAGAGCAAACUAGUCAUUCUGUUAUAAUUUCCUUACAUUCCUACUAUUAAAAUUUUAUAUAUGUACAUCAACGUAAAUUACAAGUGGCACGUUACAUGUCACUAUUCAAUUAUUCCAUCGUAACGCCACUUUUUAGCAGUGCAAAUUAAUGAAAUUUUUAAUAUAAAGGAUCAAUUUGCUCUUUAGUCUAACAUACAAGGACUAAUUUGUUCAUUUUUUAGUGGAGGGGAAAAAUACAAUAUGGUUCUUAACAUAGGCCUCCAUGGUACUUUUACUUUACAAAGUAUUAAUAUCUUGUCACAAUCAAUUUUUUCUGUCAACUUAGCUAUUAGCUUGGGUGUUAAUUGUCGGCUUAAAUCUAACAUAGAGUUUAUACCGAAACAUGUGAAUCAAAUUAUAAAUAUGUUUAUGCCUACUAUAUAAAUAAUUUGGAUAUGAUAUGUUAAAAAAAUAACUUUGUUAAAUUUAUUAAUAUUUCAUUUUUUAAACUUGUUAUAUCUAAGUUGCUUAUGCAAUAAGUAUACUCAUUUUUUAGAUAUACUCUACGUCAAAUUUGAAUUGGUAUUUAAACCUUAAAUUGAUGAUUAGGCUAACAGAAGGACCUAAUUGAUGCAAAUAUUAAUACAUUGAGAACUCGAUUAAAACAGUUUGAAGCAUAAUGGUUGUUUUAAAAUCUAUAUGAUAGUUUGAGGACAUUUGGUGGUAUUGAGUAAUCUAAAUAUCAAAAGGUACGGAAGAUAAAUUUUUGCCAGUUUCGAAGAUACAUCACACAAGUCAAGUAUUAUUUUAUGUCAGAGUUUUAUCUCUGAAUUCUACAGAGAGCUCGGAUGAGUUCACAAAUUAGUAAAAACACUGUAAAAUGUUUUGAAUAACAAACAAAACCAUAGCCAUCUAAAAGGUUUUUACAUAGUAUAUAAUCAAAUUAAAACCUUGAGUGUAAACAAUAUUUGACAUAUUGAAGAUGAUAAAAGUAUCAUGGAGGUUCUUUUAUUAAGAGUUAGAUUGCAUUUUAUCUCAUUUACUCAAAAAAUGAGCAAAUUAACCCCUGUAUAUUAUAUUAAAGAACAAACUGGUCGUUUCUAUUAAAAGUUCCAUCCAUUUCUUCUUUUAAAAACUAGUGUGACUGACAGAAUAACCAAAUAGUUACACAUGAUAUACCAUGUAUACCUCAUUCUAACAUAUAAAGACCCGUUUUAAUUGAAAAUACACCCUUCAACAAAUAUGAACUUAUUCUAAUUUGACUUUUAACAAUAAAAUAUUUUUAGAUUAAAUUUAAAUUAAGACUUCAUUAGAAUCCCUAAUUAAAAAAAUGGUAUUAAUAUUUUUAUAAGGCACGACUUGGUUGACAUUUAUUAUGGAGUCAAAAAAAGCAAGUUCAAGGUAAUAGACCCCUUGUUUACUGGAAAUUAAUUGGGGGAGGUGCAGGCGCGUGAAAAAAAUUAGAGUGGGGAAAGUAAGAAGAAGAAGAAGAGAUGGGAAGACCGUAAGGGAAGACGUCAGGGGUUGACUAAUGAGAAACACGCCAGGUUUGGUCCAACCUUGGACUGUCAAUGCUACGCGUUCCUCACUGACUUGUCGUCCACGCUAUCCGGAACACUUCCUAGUAUUUUGCCACUACUUAAAUUUGAAUUUCCACCGACAACUAUAACUAGAGGUGUGAUGGCCAGGUUGGUCCGAGUUCCGAGAUCCGAGAUCCGAGAUCCGAGAUCCGAGAUCCGAUUUUAAAAAAAAUUGAAGUCUAAGUUUAUUUUCGGUCCCCAUAUUUAUAAAUAAUUAAUUUAAGCUUGUUUUAUGCUCAUACAUAUUAUUUUUAAUUUAAUAUUUAAUGUUUUAGAUGAUUUUUUUUGUUAAAAUUUUAAAUUUAGACAAUUUAACAUAUUUUAUAAUGUUCACGUAGUAUUAUAUUAUUAUAUAUAAUUUACUGUGAUAUAAAUGACAUAAUAUAUAAAAUAAAAUAAAAGUAUAUUACAAAAGUAUAAAACGAUUUAGUCAGGCUCGAGUCUUGACUGUUGAAGCUCAAGCUUGAAUCAUAUUUUAAACAAGCUUAACUUUUUUACCCAAGUCCAUUUUUCAAGCCUUGUACUUUUACUUAAGCCUUCCCAUAUUUCAGGUGGGCUUUUGGGCUUGAGCAAAUAACCCGACCCAUGAAUAGAUUUAAGUAAGACUCAUCAACCACAGGCUUUGAAGUCGGAUUAUUCGUCCAAGUCCAAAGAUUGACUUAAUACUUGAAAUGAUUUAGAUAAAAAUACUAGAAUUGAAAUUGUAUUUGGACAAAGAAAUAUUAUUCUUGUUUAAAAUAUGAGUUAGCUUCAGGCUCCAAUAUUUAAAGCCUAAAUAUAUUAGAAAUUUAUAAUGUAAUAUAUUAGAAAUUUGACAAAAAAAAAAGAUAAAAUUACUAAACACUAAUAAAAAUAAUAGGAAGGGUCUAAACACUUUACUGAGUUUAUACAUAUAAGUGACUUUAGCAAAAUUUGAGAAACACAUUAUUGAGCUUGAAAAACUGAACUAAAUAUAAUCGAUUCAAUCCAUGAGUACCUCUACUGAAUCAUAAUCUAAAGCUUGUUAAUCAAAACAAUGUCGUUUUUAGGUCCAACUUCAUUAAAGUUUUUAUUUAUUUAUUUAUUGAUACAAUAUUAGGGGUAAGAGAUAGGGAUAAAACAGUUUGAAUCCGUACAAAAUAAGUGUCUAACAAUAAUUUUAACCACCAUUCUAUAUAAAUUAAGAAAAUUUUUAUUUAUUUAAAUAUUUAAAAGAAUAUUUACUUCAUGAAUAAUUUGAAAAACUCCUUCAUACAUUUAGGUAAGUGAUCUUUUGGUUUAAAUUGAGAACUUUUUAAGUAAUUUAAAAGCCUUCACAUACAUCAUCACUAAUUAAAUCUAGAGAUGACAAUGAAGCGAGAUGGCUGGAUGUUGUUAAAUUCAUCAUCUCUUCAUAGUUGGUAUGUUCUAUUCCAUCACUUGCCUCGCUUAAUUACGAAUGUAUAAUUUUGAAAACCACUAUCACACUCUAUUACUGUUGGAUGCAUCCGUCCUCACCUCACACCACUUUUCUUCAAUUUAUUUUUUGCUACUUUUUAUCUUUAAUAUUUUUUAAAGUCAAGUAAAAUUUAAACAUAAUUAUCUUUAAAAAAUUAAAUAUAAAAUAUACAAAAUUUUUCUAUAAUACAUUAUGUUAGCAAAAAAGGGCAUUGCUGAGAGCAGAAACAACACAACGAAAUUAGUGCCUAAGUUGGUGGGCACUUCUCCAAGCACUAAAUGAGAAACAAAAAACACACUGAACAUAAAAAGAUGAUUAUGCAAUUCGGUUUUCCUACAUCUACGGAGCCUAGCUCAGUAAGAAAUAUGUACUCUCUUCAACAAUUAUAAAGUGAACUUACUCAAUCGCACAAACCAUGAUUGUUUCCCUUACCUUUGCACUUUAAAGAUAAAGUACUCUCACCACGGUGUACAUCGAAGUAAUACAAUAUAAUAAUAACAUAUAAGAUAAAUAUGGACUCUUGGCAACUCAACAUCAAAAUCACAAUCCAUAACCCUCCCCAACCUAUAGAUAGGAGGAUGAUACGCUUUAACGCACUCGAACUCACGUCCUCUUGUAUUGGCAAUAAUAUCCAUACCAAUCGAACUAAUACACAAUCGACUGAUUUUAUUAUCUUUGAUUAAAUCAAGAAUUUGUUGAUUAAUUUAAAGUUAACUACAAAUAGAAAAUGCAAACACAGGACAAACAAAAUGAAGAAAAAAAAUAGGACAUUGGAUAAGCUUACCACCAACCUUAUUAAAUAUCCAGUCACUGUCACGGCUAAAACUGUGUAAUAAGAUAGAUGGGCAAGAAAUUGGAAAUAAGCCUUUGACAUUAACGCGGCCUUUUUUUUUUCUUCAUUCAAACUACUCUGUUGUCAAAAGAUAAAACAGAGGAGCAACCAAAAUUGAAAAAUACAGCAAGCAAGUUCAGGACACAAUCCCACUAACUAACAAAAGCCCCGAGAGAUCACCACCAAGCUUCAAACAAUUCUGCCCGAUUAACACCUGCCAUCGCUAAGGAGAAAGUCAUAUCAUUACUAUUCUUAUCCGCCAAAGAGAAAACGACAAAUCCAGCCUUAAGCAUAGCAAUUUCAAUUUUUGAAAAAAUUGCAUGAAGCGACCAAGGUCUCAAAACCUUAUUAACACACCACGAAAACACCACCAAUGAUCCUAGCGUAGUUUUAAUUUUAUAAAUAAAAAAUCUAAGGAAAUAAUUCUAGAAAAAAAAAUCAAAAUCCAGUGUAAUAAUGAUAAGAAAUUAUUACCAGUUAAAAAAAUCUUUGGAGUCGUUGGCUACAUCAUAGUCAACCAUCUAAAAAAGCACUUAGCCACAACAUACAAGAAUUAAUGAGAAGCUUGAGUAAAAUCCAAAACAAUCAAUCUUAUCAAUACCUUUUCUUUAUUUUUUUGGUCGAAAUCAAGGUGUCCACUGCCGAUAGUAAUGACUAAUCCCCUUGCCAUAGGUGCUCUCCAAAGAGGUAUCUGGUUAGUUAUGAAAUGUGCUCUAUUCUCAUGGGUAGGGAUUGAAUCCCAACCUCAUGGUUAAGAGAUGAGGUAAGCAACCACCACAUCAUAACUUAUAGUUUAUUAAUAUACAUUUUCAAGACGUUUAAUGUAAACUAAAAAUUCUUUUCCCAUCUUUUUUUUCUGUAUUGAUUUUGAAUUAUUAUUUUUCAUUAAAACACUAUCAAAUUCAGUACUUGUCUCAUUGCUUGAUCUUUACAUGAAAUUUUAGAAACAUCAUAUUGUAUUUUUGAGAAACUGUGAACCUUGUUUUGUUAAUCUGGGUUCACAUCAAAUUUUAUUCCUGUACUUCUACUCAUGGUUUAUUUGUGGUUCUUUUUUCAGCUUCUUGUGCUUAAAAAUGGGUUCUACAAAAUUUCUUUUUAGGUGUUUGAGAAUGGGGUAUUAAUGAUUUGUCAGUAUUGCUACUAGUUAUGUAUAAAGUUGUUUAAAUUUGUGUGUUUAGCCGAAGGGUAGGGAAAUCAAUGGCAUUUUAUCAUAAUAAUAAUAAAAAAAACUAAAAGUUUAAUUAACAAAAUAGGAUGCAUACAAUAUUUUAAUGAUCAUUUUUAUACUUUACUCUUAUUUUAUCUUAAUCCUUAACCUAAAGCCGUGAUCCUAAACCCUAAAUUAGAACAUUCGAUAAAUGCUGAGAAAAACUAUCUUCUCCACCAUAUUCAAGUUCAAUCCUUUGUCGAGUCAAGGGUUUUGAUUGAACUAUAACUUCAACCAAAGUCGACAAUAACUCUCCUAACUCAAAUGUCUUUCAUGAGAAUAGACUUUCUCAAGCGUUGUAGCAUCAACCAAGUACGGAGACAUCCUUUAGACAAACCUUAAGUAGGAAGGUUUAUGAUGAACCAUAUUUACGGACAGUCUAGAAUAUUUCUUUAUAGUUGAACAAUGCUUCAACACAUUUAAAAGAUCAUGGUCACGAAAGCCAUCUAAAUAAGGAGAUUCAAAAUUAUCUUUGGUUGAAAUUCGAGUUGGGUUGAAAUCCUCGACCCAACAAGUGAUUGUAGCCGAAAUAGGUUAGAGGGAAAAAUUGAUGAGCAUUUAUCAAAUAUUUUAAUUUAAGUUUUAUGGAAAUAAGUUAGGAUUUAGGGUACAAAAUGUAUCGGUUUAGGGUUAAAUUUAACAUUCAAAUUGAAGUUAUUGCACUUGAUGACCAAUUGGGGACAUACAUUAUUCACAUACAAUCAAAUGGGUAGUUCUCAAAUCUAAAAGAGAUUCAAGACCUUGCUAAGAAUAUGGUUGAUACAAAAAAGAACAUUGUUUAUCUUUUGGUAUAUGGCCUAAUUAAGUUUCUAUUGAUUUUUCGAGUUGUCACAAGUGUGUAAAAGGUAUUUUCUGCAAUGAAAAUUGUGAAAGAUCGUUUGAGGAAUUGGAACGAAGAUUAAUAAAUGAAUGAUUGUUUUGUUACAUGCGUCGAAAAAUAUUUUUUUAACAGCAUUAACAAGACAAAGAUAACCCAAUAGUUUCAACGCAUGAAAAAGCGUGAUAGACAAAGAGUACGACUUAUUGAAAUUUAUUUGAUGUGCUUUUUCUUUUAGUUACCAUUUUAACUGUCCUAUAUUUAAUCAUAUUAUACACUAGUUUAUCAAGUGUUCUAAAUGCAAAGGAAUUUUUUUUUAUAUAAUUCCUACUACUCAUAAUCUUCAAACUCUUAAACUAGAAGAUAAUAUAUGCUUGAGCGCUCUUGAACCCAUGUAGAUCAACGGUAUGAAGUAAGGGUGUGCAUUUUUCAAUUUUAACCAAAUUAGCUAAGCGAACCAAAUUAGUUCAGUUAAUCGAUCAUCCAUUGAAUCUAAUUCGGACAAGAUCGAUUGUCGGUUAAUUCAAUUCAAAAUCAAAGAAUUAGUCAAAAUUAUAAAUAAUAUACUAUAGGCCCAAUAUAAUAGAUAAGUCCAAUACAUCAUAUGAGCCUAAAAUAUAUAUAAUGGGCUUAAAAAACUAUUAUGAAAACAAAAAUCAUUUGAAAAAUAAAAUAAAGCUAGAAGUAAACAAAAAGUAAUAUAUAUAUAUAUAAUGUUAGUUAAUUUCGAAAAUUUCAUUAUAUUUUAAUGAUAACACAAUUUUUUUAAUAGAGAAAAAUUGAUUUAGAUGAUGGAUAAUGGCGUUGGUCAUUUGUUGUUAUUUAUUUGAAUUGGUGGGUCAACGAGGAAGUCUAUUCUUCACCUACCAAAACGGUGAGAAAUACAACGACUUAAAUUAAAUUUCCUUAAAUUAUUUUCCAAAAGAAGUAAAGUAUCAAAAUAGUCAUUUUUGUUUAUUUCAAGUUACAUUUUAAUCACUUAUGUUUGAAAUGUUACGUUUUAGUGAUUAACGUUAUCGUUUUGUUGUAAAAUGAUCACUUUGCCGUUAAGAUCAGUUACCUCCAAAAUGGCAGUGCGACACCCUAAUACUUGAACUAGAAAAAAAAAAGAACUCUUGGUCUCCUUUUUCUUUUAGCUUUCAUUUUCAUUUUAACAGAGAAAACCAUCCAUUUUCAUAGUCAACAAAUUGUUGAAUCGAAACAGUAGAAAUCAAAUUGAAUGUUCUAUCAACCAAUUGGAUUUUUAUUCAAAAUGGAAGAACAAAAAAUUGAUUUAAUGGAGGGUCCAGGUAUGGAUUACAUUAAGUAAUUGGGUUAAGAUAUUAUGGGUUUUCUUUUUGCAAAAAGGUGUUCCAUCUUUUCAUGUUUUUCUGUAUGCGCCGUGACAGACAAAAAUGACAUACUUCAUCUUUGUUUAUUUGUGUAUUGUGGGCAACCACAAUAAAAAACAUGUAUAAAGGCUGGUGUGUCCAUUUUUUCUUCUUCUCUUUCGUUCUUCUAUUCUUUAAUGGUAACAAAAAAAAAAACAAUUGUUGCUUCUUUUUAAACCGGAAAAAAUUGAGUUUUAGGGUAAAAUUUUGUAUUCUAUUUUUAUAAUUUUUUUUAAUUUUUCUCAUCUCAGUUGGACAUCCAUAUUGGCAUUUAAAAUCCAUUUUAGCUGUCAUGUCAAUCUAUCGUUUGGAAAAUAAUAGAUCUUAGCGACAGAGUGAUCAUUUCAUAACAAAACGAUAACGUAAGUGACUAAAAUAUAACCCGAAAUAAACAAAAGUAAGUAUUUUAAUAAUUUACUCGAAAAGAAAAUCAAAUUUCGUUAAAUUAUUAAUAAUUAUAAUGAGUCAAGCCUCACUAUUAAUGCCUCUAAUUCGCUGCAUUAAAGCUCACAAGACUUCCUACUUACUGGUUAAUUUUAAAGCUUUCCUCUUUGCAUGUCUUCGACGUACCCCAUUUAUAUACUUUCAUAAAUAAAAAAGUACCAUCGUACCCAUUAUUUAUAUAUCUAUAUAUAAAAGGAAGGUGGUGCUCGUCGUCUUCGUCUUCGUCUUCGUACACGUGUUGGAUUCUAAUUUUUUUAUUAUUAUAAAAUAAUAGUAAAACUUCAGUUUGAUUACUUUUUUAUGUUUAUAUUUUAAUUUGACAUAAUUAAUAUAUGAAUAUUUGUAGUACAAGUGCAAAUGUUGAAUCAAUUGUAAUAAAGCUAUAAGAGGAUAUCAUCCGCACAUGGACCGAAUUUUAAGAUGCUAAAUAUUAAUUAUUCAAUUUUAUCUAAUCUAGAUCAAGAAAUUUGAAUCUAAUUACUACCAAAAUUAACUAACAUAGUAUAAAGAUUUUGUUAAACUAAAACAAUGAAAAUCUCUAAAUUUCUCGAUCAGUUUUAAAAUCUUGGAACUCUUACUUCAUCUAUUUUGGUUAAUUAAUUAUCUCUCGUUCAAUUGUUCAACCUAUGUGAUUACUAACGUAGGAUCCAAUGGUAUUAACUAGACCCUUCUGGUAUCUAAAUUAAUCCCUCGUCCUCUCUGACUAUAUUCCUAUACUAGGCAAGUUGGGGAAGUCACUACAAACAAACCUAUCAAGUUAAUUAGGGCAUCGGGUUUAUUUCUAUCUUAGCUGCAAAUUAACUUGUUCGUCGACGCUACUAAAAUUAAUCUUAAUCUAUUCAAUCUAGAUCCAAACCUUAAUUUUCCCUUCUAAGAUAAAUCAAGAUUAUUAAAUUAACACAACUUGGUGAUCAAGUAAGCAUAUUAAACAAGCACAAGAAUUAAAUAAUUAACAAAAAUCGAAACAAUUGAAGAGAAAAUAAUUAAUCAACUAAAAAACGAUCCAUCAUUGUUCCAAAAAUAAAAUAAAAUUUAGUUCAUAAUGAUUUGUAAAAGCAACACAAAAAGUUCUUCCAAGAAGGUUUUUUGUCACAAAUUCAUGAAGUGUCUUCGCUUCAAAUUUUUGCGUUGUUAUGGAGUUCUAAGGCGUAAGAGUGUCGAGGUUCAAACUUAAGGAGCCAAUUUGGAUGACAUUGGUUAAAUGUUGUCAAGAACUCUUCCCGAUAUAUCUUCUAUGAAUUUCACAGAUCCUCUUAAAAUCGUGUCUGGACAAGGGCUAUGCAUCACCCGUUUCUUGUGGUGGUCAAUUGUUCUAGCAAGGGCUCAACUUAUAUUUUAUUAAUUAAUUAUAAAUAUUAUAUUUAUGAUAACUUUUUAAGAUUAUUUACAAAUAUUAUAUUUAACACCUAUGUCAAAUAAAUUACUAUUGCAUGUGUUUGAGCUUUAAACCAGGUAACCGAAAGGUGCAAAGCAUUUGGAUUAGAAAUCCUGUGGGAGGCAAAAGCCAUCUUUUAAGCUUAAGGGGAUGAAAUUAAAAAGAUUAAGAAAAGCAAAAAGUGAUUGAAGAAAAAAAAAAGAUGGUGAUCAAUUGGGAAGAGACAAAUAAACAUAUGGUAAUGGUGAGUAGGUGAUCCUAUGGCCCAUGCCUUUUGAUAACUUUCUUGGUUAUCAUAUUAUAAUAUGCAUGUAUAUAUGUAUGUGUGUGUUUCCUUUGAUCUUAUCCUUCAAUUACCACCAACUUUUUCAAAGAUUGCAAUGAAUUACUACUAUAAAUCUUAUAAUGGCCAUGAAAAGGUUACUUCUAAUCUUUCUUUAAUUAAUGGAAUGGUAAAAAUUUUGAAUUUAUUAAUAAGUAUAUCGGAAGAUGAUAUUGUUAGGAGGAGUGUAAUCGUGAAUUUCGAAAGAAUUAAUUUUCAUAAACUGUAAAAUAAACAUGAAAGAUAUUUUGGUCAUAUAAAAAAUUAUUUUCAAAUCUUCAGUUGACAUCAGUUUUAGUUUCAAUAUCGGGAUAAUUCUUACUUCUUAUCCCCAAGGGUGGCAGGAAGGGGUAGACAAGUGCCUUGGCCCCCUUAAAAUUGGAAAAUUGCAUUUUUUACCUUUUAAAUGUAUAAAAUUAUAAGUUAGUAAUGAUAAAAAUUACACUUUCACUUCCAAAAAAUGUUAAGAUUUUGAUUUAAUUAUUUAAAAAAUUAUAAAGGUAUUAGCUAAUACAAUAAUGAAAUUGCUUUUACCUCUUAUUAAAAUUUAUAACUUAAUUCCGGCCCUCCAAAAUUAUUUUCUAACUUUGCUCGUGCUUAUUCUUUUUAAAAAAACUUAUAAUAGAUUUUUUUUUGCAAUUUUUUAAAUUCACAAACCUUCAGAUUUUUUUGUAUAAUUAAUAUUUUAAUAAUCCAACCGUUGAAUUUAUCAAUAUAAUCGUACUUAUCAUCCAUUAAAAUUUUCAAAUCGAUUCGAUAUUUUUAUUAUGUCAAUCUAAAAUACUGUAUAUAUUAAUAUUUAUUGAACGGUUAAAUUUUUUUACAUAAAGUAAACAAUUAAAAAAAUUGUUUACGCCAAAUUUAAUAUGCAUGAUCUAUAUGAAUGAAAUAUAAAAUAUAACAGUUGAAUCAUUAAAAUAUUAAUCAUACAAAAAUAUAUAAAAUGAUAUUUUUUGUUAUUAAAUAUUAAAUAACUAAAUGAAUAUAUCCAAUUAACAAAGCAAAAGUUUAGAAGAAUCAAAAAUAAAUAUCAAAGCAGAAAGGACUUAGUGACCCUCAGAGAAUCCACAUGGCACUAAAUUUUAUUAAAAGUAGUCUAAUUAAUGUUUAUAAGAUUUGGUAUUAUUUUAGGGUUGAGAUCUCUCUUUUUUUAAUCCCUUACUUUUUUAAAGUUUUUAAUUUACUAUUUUUUUUAAUAUACUAACCACUACCAUUCAUAUGUUAUAAGAUUCAUCUUUAAAUUAUUUUUUAAUAGAUAAAAAUCAGAAACAAUUACAAUAUUAUUCCAGUACCAUCGUACAUAAACCGAUCAUCUAAUCGUAAAUGCUCCACGAUCGUUUUUGGGGGUUCCUAGAAUAUUAUCGGUUCAUAAGGGAAAGCUUAUUCAUCAUUCUAGCCAAUGUAUGUGCAGCUACAUUAACUUCUCUUGGAAUCUGCUUUAUGACCACCCUCCAUUGCCUCUUUCAAAGCUCCUGGAUUCUCAAGGUUAGGCCUCUGUACAAUUAACCACCUAAUUUUUAUUAAAUAUUAAUGAACAGAAAAUAAUAAACGAGAGCUUCACCUAAUUUUUACUUGUGCAAAUCAAUUCGAAAAAGUUGAUUUUUUUUUGUAAUUUUAAGUUAAUCUAAUUGAGUUAUUCUUUUUUUUAAUAAAUUCAAAUAAGUAAUUCGAUUUUUCGAGUUCAAGUCAAGUUGAAUUUUAUAACUCUAUUAAUUCGAAUAAUUCCAAUAAUAAAUUGAUAUAAAUACUCUUUGAGUCCUUGAUAGUUUCGAAAAUGUGCAAAUUGGCCCCUCUAAAAAAUUACAAAAAUUCAAAAUUUUUAUAAAUUAUUUUCCCAAAAUUUUAUAAAUAUAUAUAUUCGAAAAAUUACUAGAAAAUCUUUAAAAAUAUAUAAAAAAGGCUAAAUUAUAAUUUUUUUUAAAAAUUCCAAACUGAUAGAUUUGAGGCCUUAAACAAGUAAAUUAUCAAAUCAAGUUUAUCAAACUAAUUAUCUUCUUUUUAUUCUCUUAUUUUAUUUUAAAAGACUUUUCAAAUACAUAUAGUAUUUUAUUUUAUUCGACUCGAUUCGAGUCUCAUUUAACUCUACUUGAUUGAGAUAAAAUAAGGUUUGAAAUUUAAUUUUUGUUAUCAUGCUAAAUUUGUUUCUACUUUGGCAUCCAAAAUUAGCUAAAAAUGUUUUUUUCUACUAAAAAUAUGGUAAUUUGAAUGAGGUUGCAUGUGUAUGUUACAAAUGUGAGUGCUCUAAAUCAUAAAUCAUAACUUAGUUUAUGGUCCUAUAGAAAAAACAUAGUUUAUGUUUUCCCCCUUUUUAACUUUUGCUUAAAUUAUUCUUUGUCCUUUGUAAGAUUUUCAACACAAUGACUUUUUUUUCUCCUACAAUUUAGGCACUUACUUAGGAGUUAGCAUUUGCCCAUGUUGCCUUUAUUUUAUAUUUCGCUUGUGAUGUUUACAAUUUUUUUAUGCAAUUACAGUAUCAGAAUGGGAAAGGAUUGUUGAAACAAUGAUGCCACGUUUUAAUGUCACAUCAAUAUUUUUAUCUUGGAAAAAUUUAAAUCCAUAUGAAAAUCUUGAAAUUCAGGAUGAAAUUAUUGAUAUGGUAUUAAACUAUUGGAAAAAGAUAAUAUCCAUGUUUCAUACAUUCCUUUCUCUAUUAAAAUUUGAACUUUGAUUCUUGAGGUGUCAACUAGAGAGCCCCAUUCUCUACUUUGAAAAGUAAUAACAAGUUGUCUACAAUGAAGCAUUUGAACUUUAUGAUUGAAAUUUAAGUUGAAUCAGGAAAAUUCUAUUAACAAGCAAGGUCGACGAUAGGAGGGCUGACAAGGGCCUUGACCCUUUAAAAUGAAAAAUUACACGUUUAGCUUUUUAAAAUUUAUAAAAUUACACGUUAGUUCAUAGUAAAAUUAUACUUUUUCCCCAAAAUGAUAAAUUUUUAAUUUCAUCCUUUAACAAUUAUAAAACUAUAAGCUAAUAGAACUGCUAAAUUACAUUUCAACCCUCAUAAAAAUAUGUAACUUAAGUUCGACCCCCAAAUAUUUUUUUUGGCUUCAUCUGUAUUAACAUAGCCAUAUUGGAAGUCACUACUUCUACAAACUUAAUCUUUUCACCUUUUACACAUAAUCCUCAAAACUUGUCAAUGGAAAUGAAGUGUUUUCAACUAAAUAGCUAAUCAAGUGAUGAAGUUUCUAGUAGUUUGAAUCAUUCACUUGAUUAGCUUUUUAAACCAUUUCAUUUUAGGUAAGUAGAUGAGUUUAAUUUUCUAAAGUUCUAAUUGAAAUCUUUGGGAUUUUCCUUUUUCCUUUGGGACUCAUUUUACAUUUUCUUAUCCUUUUCUUUUCUUUGCAAGUGGGAAGGCUCCACUUCUUGAAUACUUUUGGAAUGGAUGUCAUGAAUGGAGACUUAUGUUUGUAGUAAUUGAUUGCUUGCUUUUAACUUGUCAAAAUUUUGGCUCUUUUUAGAAAAUAUCACAUUGUUCUUUGUCUUUAAUUGACUCUUACAUAUGGUGGUCCUUGACAUUUUACAGCUACAAUGCUAAGUUCUGUAUAUAUUGUCAUCUACAUGAGGGAUUAGAUCUUCAAAAAUUGUAGGUAUCAUGGUUAGGAAAGUAUAUCAAUGAGUCUAGUUCAUGCCUUGAAUGAACAAAUAAUCAAUUGCAAAGGCUUCAAACCUUUCUUUGUGUUAUACUAUACGUUGAUAAUGGUAGUAGGAAUGAUUGCAUAGCAAUAGGAAAGAAAAAUAAUAACACACGGAUUUUACGUGAAAAACCUUUAUCAGGAAAAACCAUGAGCAGAGGAGGAGAAAUACACUAAUGUUGAAAAACAAUCAUAUAAGAGGUUUUUUGCUACAUACGUUUUAAGGGUUAAACAACUCUUUUAUAAUUUACAUCUAAUAGAAGAAGUAUAGUUCUAUACGAAUUUAACUUGUGUGACAAGGUCCCCACAGAUCCCCAAUACUUUUUUACCUAUAAAUACCUAGAUUUUAGGUUGAUCCCAAAAUUUCAAAAUUUCAAAAUUUUCUAAUUGGGUCCUCAAAGUAUUAAUAUCAUAUCAACGAAGUUCUUCCAUUAGCCUAGUCAUUAGUUUAGAUGUUUAAUGCUAGCUCAAAUUUGACAUAGCGUAUAUUUAAAAACAUGUAGGUCAAAAUGGUAAGCAAAUGUCUACAAACACAUGAAUAACUUGAAUUUCACAAGUUUAAAAAGUAAACCUCCUAAUUUUAAUGGCAUUGUCUUUGCUUUUAACACGUCUUGUUAAAGCUAUCCAUCUGAUAAGUGAUAACACACGUGUUUAUAACUUGGUACACAUGUUUCAUAAAUAUUUCAAGUUGGAUUUGAACUGGCAUUUAACACCCUAAACUGUCGUCUAGGCUAAUAAAAAAACUUGAUUGAUAUAAUAUUACUACUUUGAAGACUCAAGUACUAAAUUUUGAAAUUUAAAGACCAAUUUAAAGUCUAAAUAGGGACAUAUGAAAUUUUAUUAUUAAUUUGUUCAAGUAAAUGUGAUAAUAUUGAAAGUAUUAUUCCAUAAGAAGUUUAUGCAAUUGUGCUUUUAGUUUAAUUUUUAAUGAAAAAACUUCCUUAAUUAUGUGUUACAAAAUAAGUGUUUUUGAAUAAAUGUUACUGUUAUCCACAACAAAGGGACCAAACAUAUAAUAAGGUUGCCAAAUCUAUACUACAUAUAUAGCUUUGAUGAUUAAGGCAAUAUUUCCUGUCUUAAGUAGUAUAAUGUUUACAUCUUUGACCAUCAAUCUUUCAAAAAAAGUCGUUAAUUUUGUAAUGAAAAUAUUUAUUAAAAUAUUAAAUUUUCAAAUAUAGUAGCCUGAAUAGUAAUUUACGUGUAUUUUAUGCUAAUUAUUUUUAUUUUUUAUUUGUAUAAAUUUUAAAUUAUUUGUUGACCUGACAUAGAAGAUAAAUAGUGUCUACAUAUCAGCAUGAAAUACAUGUGAACUCCCACGCGAGUUGCCAUGCCAACUUUAGCUUUUAAAAAAAUAAAGAUUAAGGGUGAAUUUGGAUAGGUUGUGCGUUUUCCUGCUAUUAGUUUAAAAAUAACGAUGACAGUGAAAUUAGAUACUGUAAUGAUAUAAAAUUAAGCUAAACACACUGUACAAUUCAAACCCACCCUACAUUAAAAAAAUUAUAAAUGUUAAGAGAUAAAUUUACAAGGAAUAGGUUGUGCAACCAUUUUGAAAGCCUGUAUAAACAAAUAGGACUGAAAGGCAACCAAAAUGAGACAUUAGAGAUAGAGAUUAUGAUUAGCUUUGUCACGCCUGCAGCCAGUUUUAUCCUAUCUUGCCAUGAAUAUCAGCUUUUACGCACCAUAUAUAUAUAUAUAUAUAUAUAUAUAUAAUGAUGUUAUCUAUAUAGCUUUUUGUUUUUAGUAAUAGUUAUAUAUCAAAUUUGAUAUCUCUCUGAAGUUAAAUUUUGAAUAAUUCAUAAUUAAAAUGGUACUAAAACUGUUAUUUUACCCUUUAAUUAAAGGAGUACCAAGAUUACUGUUUACCCUUUUAACUAUGCCUCUAGUCAUUGAUGGGAAGUAUGGUGCUACUUGAGUUAGCUAUAGUUCAUGGGAUCGGUUCAAACUCUUCAAUUUAUCAUAGAUUUUUUUUAUUCAAACAUUAUGAAAUGCUCUCACUCUAUUAAUUCGUUAAAAUUCUUAAUAAAUUUAGAAGAUAAAAACUCGAUCGAGAACAAUACCAAAUUAUUGAAAGUAGAUUUACAAAAUGAAAUAUGUCGAGUCAUUUUUCUCGUGUGUUCUUGAGGUGCACUUAUCAUGUCAUGGAUGUGCUGUAGUCAAAAGACAACAAGCACUCAUGAGUCAUGAUAGUAGGCAUAUGUAAUAUUUUCCUUCACAUAAAUUAAAUACAUAUAAUUUCACAUUUACCAAAAAUUUAAAAAAUAUAAUAGGGUAAAUUAUACUUAAUGUUACUAAACUGUUAGUAAACUUACAUUUUAGUCAUUCAAUUUCAAAAAUUAUAAAAUAGUUAUUAAACCAUUCAAAAGUUUUUAUUCAAUUCAUUGAGUUGUUAAGUUUUAUUAAAAAAAAAAUCCAUCGACUACUAGAAGAAUAUACCGUAUACCCAAAUCAAUCUGGCUUUGGUUCACACAUUCGUUAUGUUCAAUGUUGUUUCAUGAAAAGAAACUGGACUAUAGAAGAGAAAAUGAGGGAGAGCUUUCAAUUGAUGUAGGUGGUGCAAAACAAAAAAGGUUGACUUAAAUGAAAACCUUCAAAUAGUUUGGUGACCAAUUUAAAACUUACUAAUAAUUUAAUAACCAUGAGUGUAAUUUAUCCAAAAACAAAAAAGCAAAAAGUGAUACAAAUUUCAAAUUGAUCUUUUAUCAUUCCAUACUCCGACCCUACUUCUUUUCAUGAAUUCAAAACAAAUACUAUUUUAUAAUCUUCAUUAACCAUAAUCAUGAACCUCUCCACCAAGCAAUGGUGUGUGCUCCUUAUAAAGUAACUGAGUUGGGUAUAUAUAUAUAUCUCAACUUUCUUCAAAAGCUUGUGAAAAUUAUGGCGAUGAAAGAGCACAAAAAACCCAGUUUUUUGCUGGGUUUUGCAUUGUUAUUGCUUCUAUUGAUGAUGAUGAGAAGCUCACAAUCCAUGGCAGAUGCUGAGAUGAUGAAAGUGAAACCCACAAAAGCAAGAACAAGAAAGGUAUUGGAGAUGGAGCAAGAUUACCCAGGUGAAGUGCCAAGCAUCCCAAGUGAUUAUGAUUACAAUGAUUUCUACAGAAGGCAAGGUGAUGUUCCAAGCCCAGGAAUUGGUCAUUGAUAUAUAUAUAUACACAUAUGUAUGUAUAUGUAAAGGGUACUGCCAUGCAUGAUUUUCUUCUAAUUCAUAUAUAUGGUUUAUUUAUAGAAUUUUGUUUUAAUCAUGUCAUAUCAGUGAAACAUUAGAAAAAUUUGAAGUGAUAUAUAUAUAUUAAUGUGUAUGUAUAGGGAUUAUUGUAAUUGAAUAUGCCUUUAUGAUGGAUACAUUUAUGUGAUUUGUGAGGGUGAAUGGAAUAAAUUUGUGGUGAAUAAUGGGUUUAUCUGAUUUGUAUUUUAUACAUAUAUUGUUAAACUAUAUCAACGGAAAUCGAGAAUGAGUGAUGUAUACUCUCUUCUGGGAGGAUGAUUAAGACCCUAUUUUCGAUCUUUUUUGUUCUAGUUCUUCACCCUUUCCCUCUUAUUUCAUUUCCGUUGAUAUCGUGUAUCAACAAUAUCAAUGAUUUUUUAUAUAUAGUUUGAUUAAGUUAAUCAACUCAAAUCAAGCCUAUUAAGUCCUUUUCCCGUUAUUUCAAUGGGUUGCUAAAAAAAAUUAACCUAAAAUUAUGUGUAUAACUUUUUUUUUAAUUUGUUAAUAUAAGUAAAAAUAUAAAAGCCCUUAAUUGAAAAAUAAGAGGAAUUUUUUGGGAAUAUGAAAAAAGUUUAAAAUUUACUAUUAGUCCCUAUAUUUUACAAAAGUUGUGAAUUUAGUCAUUAUAUUUUUCGAAUCUUGAAAUUUUAGUCCUAACCCAAACAAUUUUAGUUAAAUUCAAUUAUUAGUAUUGUACUAUGUGUAUAGUUGUAGAUUUGGUUCAUAUUCUCUAAUUGGAUCAUUCUAAGUCCUUAUACUUUUUGUAUUAUGAAAUUUCAGUCUUGAACACAAAUCACAGUCGUUAAUCCAUUAACUGAAUUUUUAAUAAGUAAUAUAUAGAAAUAAUAAAUUAACAUAGCAUUACACAUGAUAAUAAAUGUUUGGAGUGUCAUAUUUUAGAAAUAACAUGAUUUAAUGAAUUUAAUAGUUAUCAUUCGAUAGGGACUGAAAUUUCAAAAACUGGAAAGUACAUAGAUUGAAAAUGAUCAAAUUAAAAUAUAUGAAUUAAUUUUACAACUUUCGCAAAGUAUAGGGACUAAUAUAUGAAUAAAGGGCAACUUUACCUUUUGUCUUUUGAGCGGCAAAAAGACAGUUCCUAAGGACUACAAUGCGAAAGAAAAUGAAAAGUUGGGUAGGAUUUUGAUUUGACUUUAGUGGGAAUAUAGUCAAUAUUAAUGUAAUAUAGAUUAACGGUUUUGAUGGUGAGUUCAAAUCAAUGUUACAUCUCUGCACUUGGUUAGUUGUUGAGUUGUCCCUGGUUGAUGUCAAAUAUUAAUUAUUUCAUAAAGUAAAAUAAUUAUGGAGGAAAUUUAUAUUACAUGUUACAUUGUAUUUAUUUUCUCUACUUGUAAAACGAGUAAAUUAGUAUAUGUACAUUAGAUUAAAAAGUAAAUUAGUUUUUUGUUAAACAAAAUUAUCUAUUUCUACUAUUAAAAACCGGUCUUUGUAUGUCGAUAUGAGGUAAACAUGGUACGUCAUGUCUAACUGUUUAGUUAUUCCGUCAGCCAUACCAGUUUUUAACGGUAGAAAUGAAUGAAAAUUUUAACUGAAAGGAUUAGCGUGCUCUCUAAUUUAACGUAUAGGGACUAUUUGCUUAUUUUUUGAGUAAAUGAGUUAAAUGCAAUCUGAUUCCUACUAAAAGAGCUUCUAUGAUACUUUUACUUGAAUUUACGUUGUUAGAAAAGAUAGAUUAUAAAAAAAUAUAUAAUAUAUUUUUAUAAUUUAUAUAAUGAAUAAUUUAACAUUUAAUCUUUAAAUUUGACAUUUAUAAUAAUUUUAGUAUUUUUGUUUUUUUUUAUUUUAGCUAUUUUAUAUAAUUUUCUAGCAUUUCCGUCAUAUUUUAAUAUUUUAAAAACAUGUAUAAUUUCUUGAGAAUUUCUAUAUAAUCCCUAAAAGACAAUUAAGUUCUUCUAAAAUAAUUAAAAAUUAAUUAAGCCAUUUACAUCAACCGUCGUGUCAUCAUCUACCUACACUCGCCAUGUCAACAUUAAUAGUUUGUCGGGAGUUUUAACUGAAAUGAGAAUUUCAAGAGUUCAAUUAAUAAUUAUUUUCGAAUUAAGAGUUCAGUUGAUCGCACUUUUCAACCAAAACUCAGUUGAUUUUAGAAUUUAUUUUCGAGCAGAUAAUAUUCUAAAGACAUAAUAAAAGCUUUAAAGAAAAUGUCUUCAUACUGGGCGUAAAUUCAAUUGUCAGCCUAUUUUAUUUUUAAAUAAUUAAAUCAAAAAUCUUGUAAUAAAUAUGAUACAAUAAGUUUAAAAAUUAAUUACAUUGAUUGUUAAAUCGAAAUUUAAUUUUUAUAUUUUAUUAAAAAAAUAAUGAUUUUUUAAUCCAACCGAUUCGAGGAUGGCUUGAUGAUUUGGUUGUAAAAAGAUUGUUGAAAAUUAAACACAGUGGAAUAUCCACUAGCUCAUCUUCCUUCUUCAUUACGUGGGCCAAGCUCCACCAAUAUUUGGACUGUUAUAAACAUGGUUUCCCUCAGGCCCUCACUUGCCGAAAUGGCGGGAAGAACUGGCGGGAAAACCCACCGACCUUCUCCCUUUUAACACUGAGAAUCCCUCAAGCAAAUCGGCCAAUCAGAGAGAGUGAGAGAUAGAGAGAUGGGAGGUCCACCGUACGAUUGCUUGGCGAAUCCCCUAGGAGCCGUCCGAUUAACAUUCGAGAAGGCAAUAUGGUCAGAAUCGGAGACUCCUCCGAUCCAUCCCUCCGCCUUUAACGGCAAAGAUUGGGGUGCCCUUGAACUCUUCCGCCACUUCCUCUUCCAAGGAUCAGGGCUUUCCCAGGUUCCCAUCCUUAAUCCCAAAACAUUAAGAUGGGUUCAACCCAACAGUCUUGUACGUUACCGUGGUAUGAUCCAAGACAUGUUGGGAAAUGAAUUCUAUGCCGGCGCUUAUAAGGAUGGGAAUUUAUGGCGGACCAACAAAUUCAUGGAUGUUUCUCAAUACCCAAUGGGUUCCUCUCCUGAUAUGUGUAUUUGGGAACGCCGCUUGCUCUACUGUGUUCCUGUUAGUUCUCUUCUACUUAUAACUUUUUUAGGGUUUAGGGUUUUAGGGAUUAGUGUUUAAAUGUUGAUCAAUUGGUGGAAAAAUCAUGGUUUAAAGUUGUUUUAUACUCCAUUGUUGCAUUGUUCAUUAGUUGUGAUUUUAUUCCUUUCUUCAGGUUCCAGGACAGAGUUCAUGGACUGAACCUUCUAGUGAAAUGGAACCUAAUUGGUCAUCUCAAACCAGGGAGAAGCGGCGUAGGAUGGAUGACGAAGAUGAUGAUCCCAUGGAUUUGGUUGGUCUUGCUACCUCAACCAUUUAUAUACAUAUAUAUAUAUAUUCUUUUCAUUGUUUCUCAUUGUUUUAACUUGUGUUACAUGGACUUGGUUGUGAGUGUCGUGUUCAGGUAUGUAUAUGGUCAUUGACGAAGCAGGAAGUUAUUUUUGGAGGUUCAAAAUUAAAUUAUAAAAUUUUAAAGGGGUCAAAGUACAAUUUUAUCUUUGUAUAUGCUUGUUAUUUUAGAAUUUAAGGGAUUAAACUAUAAAUUUUUCAUCUUUGGAGAAGGGGUAAAGUGUAUUUUUACCAGUAAAGUAACUUAUAAUUUUAAUGGUUCAAGUGACUAAAAUAAUAAUUUUCCAUUUGGGAGGAGGGUUCCUCCCCCCCCCCCCCCCCCCCGACGCUGUCCCUAUAUCAAGCACAUGAAUGGUUAGAUUUUUCUAAGGUUUUCCAUGUUCAGAAAUCCUCGGAGUACAUAUCUCGAUGUCAAUGAUUCGGACAAUAGAGUCUAAGCAACAUAGCUUGACACAAUCAUAAGAAUAGGCUAGUUUCUAUACUUUGUGUUCUGAAAAUGAGGUGAUGAUCUUGCCUAUAAUAUGUGUUUGUUUUUGCCCUAAACUAGUUAGGGUUUUGGUUAUAUACUUGGUUAGGUGAAAAUGUUUCUAGUGAAGGGUAUGGUAUGUUUAAGUAAAGUUGUUUGGUUAGAACAUUUAGAACUCCUCAAGAACAAUGCCUAGUUAUUUGGUUCCUUUAGUACUGGGUUUUAAUGUAUUUGUAGUUUGCCUACCUAAACUUGGAUGCUGUAUAUUUCAGGUUCCUGAUGAUGAGAUUAAAAGCUCUCCAAUUACCAAGAAGAUGGUAAGAAACCCAAAUAUUUAGUUCCAUUGUUAUUGAUAUCCAAUAAAUACUUUAGCUUUUAUGAUUGAAGACUGUGGGAUGAUGUUUGAUUUUUGGUUGAUCAUAUGAGCUUAAAGAUCACUGCAUUCAACAGUAUACUGCGUUGUCAUUAUUGUUGUAGUUGGAGCAGUAUGUCUUCUUGGCCCGUUGCUAAUUGCCAUGGAAAUUCACAUGAUUUUACUGAAGCCAUUUCUUGAGAGGUUUAGGAGCAUUCGAGAACGUUAUCAAACCUUAGUGAAUAUUCCCUUAUCUUAUUUGUUUUUCACAUUGUUACACAAUUUGCUUUUAGGGAUUUUUGCAAUGUUGAAACAUACAAAUUUCUUUUAUCGGAAUUGAGUGACUGAAAGAAAAUGGAAUAGAAUAUUAGGUUUUGCCUUUUUGUCUGAUGCUUGACAUUAGUUUGUGACAUCAGCAUAUUAAGUGUCUUUGAAUUGGACUAAAUUUGUGGCUUCAGUUACCACAUUUAGUAAAACUAGAACCAGAGGCCGAAUUUCACAUUUCUCGAGAGUACGAGGAGUGUUUUGGAAUUGUCAGUUGAAUUUUGCUUCUUGUCCCUUUUCUUAAUGUUAUCUUGCAUGCUAUUUCAGAGGGAAGAUUGUACUUACCAGAUUUUUUUUCCAUUUUUUUUUAGAGAGAAGAUGGACUUCCUUCCCCUUCACAAUCUAUGGAUGCUAAAACUACAAGCUCUUCUUCUAUCACAAGUACAUUUCAAUCUGUUGACAAAGAUAACCUUCCUUGCCUAGUCAAGGUAAACCACUUCAUGUCAUAUUUUCCAUUAUACAUCCAGAUCUACCGAAAUGGUCUGUAAAUGAAUGUUUUUAUUCGUCCUUUUCAACCAAGUUUGAUUAUUUUCUGUUUCGAUAAUGCAGAUAUAUGAUUCUCCAGAAUCAGAAUUGAAGCUGAAUGAUGUUUUUGAAUUUAUUGGGGUCCUCACUUUUGAUUCAGAGCUUGCAGUUGAGAAAGAUGACAAUGAUGAUUUAUCAAAUAGUUUCUAUGAUGAUGCCCUGGUCCAUUUGCCCCCUAAUAAGGUAUUUAUCUGCUCCUAGCUGUUAAAUAUUUGUGGCUUCAUUAUCGGCACAGAUUGUUUUGGGAUCAGUUAAUUUUUUUUGGUAAUGAAACUGAAGUUUUUUGGACGAAUUUAUUGCAUAAAAUGAUUACUCAAAUGACAAUUGUUAGGAUAUUUGUAUCUUGACAUGCAGUACAAGUUAAUGAUGUCUUUUUGUAAUAAAUUGGUUUGAUUUCUGGUCUUGUUCGGUCUUCCCACUUGUUCCUGUUGCAGGUCCCUCGCUUGCACUGUCUUAUACAUAGGAAGCUUGCAGUGCAGGACUUUCUGCCAGGUUCCCCAAUCAUAGAGGUAAAUUAUAGGAGAAAUUUAUCAAUCAUGCACUUUCCCUCACGCUGACUAGUUGUAGUUCAGUUGUCUAUUGGUUUCUCAUGUGCUUUUAAUCUUCAUUCUUACAGCCAAAGCCACAUUUGGUGAAAGAGACAAGGGAAGCUCUGUUCAGGCAUCUUACUGCUGUUCUUGGAAAUGAUGAGGUAGCUGCUCAUUUUGUGUUGUUGCAUCUUCUGUCCAAGGUAAAAAUCUUAUGUUUUGUUGAAAACUAUUACUUUCAACUCCCAUCUUAGAUUGUGAGAAAGUGAUAAGAUUGGUUGUGCAGGUUCAUGCUCGAGUAGAUGAUGUUGCAGUGGGGAAGUUGUCACUCAAUCUAACAGGUUUAAACAAAGAAAGUGUAUCUGUUUUUGGUACUCGACUUAGCGAUACAUUCAAAAACCUCCUACCAUUCACGAAUUGCAUGCCUCUCACACUGGAAUAUCUGAACACUGCCUCGCUUGCCCCGAAAAAGGAUUAUCAAGCCAACAGGUAUCCCUUUAUUCAUAUCCCUACAACUAGGGAAAGUUAUUGCCUGCAAGCAUUAAGAAAGCAACUAGUAACCAUCAAAUUUUCAGUAUUUAUAAUAGCUUCACUUUGUGUCUCAGAUUGGUUCCUGGAGUUCUUCAGCUACCCGAAGGCUCACACUUGAUGGUAGACGAGACCCAACUAGAAUCAGGAAGCCUCAAUUCUACUGGAAUUGAGAAUACAAAGUUGCUGAAAAAUCUUAUCGAGUUUCAAAAAGUAAGUUGCCACUUUGUUUAUUGGAAAAUGUGUGCAUGUUAGGUUUUGAUUUUGUUCUAUAUAUUGGAAGUAUACCAGAGUAAUACUGGUCUGAUCUCAGUUUGAAGUGACGCAAAAUCAAAAUAUACGUGUUUCAGGUGGAGUAUGACUUUCAGUACUAUAAAGUGGAAAUGGCAACGGAUGUCCAGUUACUUAUCUUCUCGGAGGGGAAAUCUAAUAUUGUUCCUGCUGAUGUUAUUGUACCUUUUCAACCUUCUUGUCUUGAAUCCACUGAAAUUCCAGUUGCUGAGGCACUAGAAGCUUGGAGAUGGUACUUGGCUACUGUUAGAUCGUUACCACAUUCCAUUGGAUCAGAAAUACAGAAGGUAUGACUUGGUUAUGUGCAUUUGUUGGCUGAACACUUGCAUUACCCUUUCUUAUGGAUGUUUGGUUUGCAGGUGGUAGAAGAUGAUUUGGUUGCAGCAAGACAAACGGAUAGGAGCUUGGGAAGUCGAGAUUUUAGCAGGUAAGAAACAAAGCUUUGAUCAUGCUGUAUUUGCAGCAGACAUUAUACGUUUUGAUGUUGCACUGAACUUAGAAUGAGUUGAAUAUAUUUAUGAUAUGUAGAUGGUUGACAAUGGCUCGGCUCAUUUCGUCAAGUUUUGGAGAAACCAGUUUGUCAAAGGAACAUUGGGAAAUGGUAAAAGAAAUGGAGAGGCUAAGGAGGGAGAGACUGAAGUAGAAUCCAAAAGUCCACAAGAUUUUGAAGCUUUGGUAUUUGGUAAAUGAUUGUUGCCCCAAAGGGUGAAGAAAAAAGCAAAAAAACCAAAAUAGCAAACAUGGGGAUUGUGAUGUAUGAAUGUUGCCCAUCACCACUCUUAAAUAUAAUAUAUCAUUGAAUGUCUUAUGUAUUCUAAUUGCUGCCAAAGUUGAACUCAAGUUCUUGUGGAAAUACAAUGCAAUCCGAGUCUAAAUCCAGUUCAUUUUACUGGCAAUUGCAGACAAGUGAUUCCUUAUCUGCAACAUCAAAGACCAUUUUUUUUUUCAUUGUUCUGUCCCUGUAAUUUUUGCUUGGAACUGGUGCAACUCAUUUUAAAAAAGACACCAAAAAGCAGGCAGCCAACAUUUAAAUCCCAUUUUAAUUCAGUAAUGAGAGGGUCCACUAAAAGAUAAAAUUAAACAUUGAAUCUUUCAAAUACUAAGACUAAGUUUAUUAUUACACUUAGGGACUCAUGAAGAGACCUUGUCUUUCAUAAUUCAUGGGAAUGAUAAAAUAAAUCUAGGAGAAUCUAAUGAAAAGAAUUUUAAGUUAGGUGAAAUAAUGAAGAUUAUUUAAUCAAUUUAAUUUUUAAGUUAAUUUUUUUAACGAAUUAAAUCAAGUGAAAUAAAUUUCGAAUAUAAUCAAAUUAAUUAAAUUUGUUCAAAAUUAAAUUAUAAUAACUUGAGCAAAAUUAAAUUAGAAAAUCAUAUAUAUUUGAAAAAUGUCAAGUAAAAUAUUUCAAAUUUUAAUUUUAAAAUUGAAUAAUUUAAUUUAAUUAACUCAAAAAAGAACCAAUUUUUCAUGCAUAAGAUGAGGUGAUAAAAGGUUGGUUUUGUUUGAAUUUGUGGCCUUCCUUUCAUAGCUUUGCAGGUGCAGCCAACUAUCCUCUUUACUUUUACAGAUAUUAGUGGGGUUUGCAAAAGCAGUGCCCUAUUCUGUAGGUUACUUCUUGUCCAAGUUUGGGCUCUAAUAAUUCACCUCCACUUGCAAAUUGUUUCAUCUUUUCAAUUCUAUCCAUUUUGUUUUAUACCAACAAGUCUGUGUCGUCGUUUGUCCUGUCUCACGUAAGAUCAAAUGCAAUACGGAUGGCUAAACAAUCUGAAUUCCAUGGUUUUGAUUUCAUCAACCCCAUUGGCAUAUAUAUAUAUUUCAUCAAUUUAGAUAUCAUUUUUACCAAUCGAGUCUUAGCUCGAUUGGUAUGAGUAUUAUUGUCAAUAUAGAAAGAUAUAGGUUUCAGUGCAAUAAAGUACAGUAUCUUCCUAUUUAUGAGUUUAUUUCCCUCUCUUCUCACCAUCCAAUCACCACCAAAAUCCAAUCACACAAGUUUCAAGUUUUUCCUCUACAUAAUCCAUGGAAACCUGUUUAAGUUAGUUUCCUUGUCGAAACCAUCCCUCGAUUUAAAAAUUUUAAAUCUAAAAAAUGGGGGAAAUCGACCUUUGAAAAACAAAUGCAUGGAGUCGCCACUGAUCUUUUUGGUGUGAUCGGAUCACCUGAGAAUGAUGUUAGUUUAAUAAAACAUUUUUGGUCUACUAAAACAACGAUUCUAGUCUACGAAAAUAUGAGAAAACGGGCUCGGGAGUCAGUUACGUAUGAGGAAGGAUUAGCGCCCUCAUUAAGCCCAAAAUUGGUACCGAAUCGAUUAAAUACUGUUCUUAUGUCUAAGAUUUAAAAAAAGUUUUUGAAAUGUGGUUCUUCUUUAUAACGUUUGAGUAACCCGAGUUGGUUGCCAAAAUCUUCUUGUUUCAAUGUCCGAAAGUUUAUAAUUUGAAAUUAACAAGAGGAUGCCCAACUAUUUGGUCCAAAAAAUUGAAACCCAGCACAGUAGGGCACGAUUCCUUGAACUUCCAAACAUCGAACAUUGCCUCACCUUAAAAAAUAUGAGUGAAAUUCUAAAGAGAUAUUCGAUUAUUUUGGAGAAAUGAAAAAGCGCAACCCAACACGAUAGGGCUCGAUUCUCAAAUCGCCAAACAUCGAACAUCACCUUUAUUUUGAAAGAUUUUAGAAAAUGUGAGUGAAAUUCCGAAGGGAUGUUCAAUUGUCUCGAACCAAUGAAAAAGCGCAACCCAGCACGAUAGGGCACGAUUCUCAAAUCGCCAAACAUUGAACAUCGUCUUCGUUUCUAAGAAAAUUUUUUUAUAAACAUGAGUGAAAAUAUAAAGGAAUGUUCGAUCGUUUUGAGCAAACGAGAAAUCACAACCCAGCACGAUAGGGCAUGAUUCUCGAAUUGUCAAACGCCAAAUAUUGCCUUUGUUUUAAAUAAUUUUUAGAAGAUAUGAAUGAAAAUUUGAAGGGAUAGUCGAUUAUUUUGAGCAAAUGCGAAAUUGCAACCCAACACGUUAGGGCACGAUUCCGCGAAUUGCCAAAUAUCGGAUCUCAUCUUCGUUUUGAAGAAUUUUAAGAGACAUGCGUGAAAUUUCGAAGUGAUAUUCGAUUAUUCGAGCAAACGCGGAAUUGCAACCCAACACGUUAGGGCACGAUUCGGCGAAUUGUCAAACAUCGAAUCCCGUCUUCGAUUUGAAUAAUUUUUGAAUGAAUGAUUAUAAAGCUAGUUUAAGAUGUAUUAAUUCGAUUUGAAAUAAGGCGAAGUUAAUCAUAAAUCUUGGGUUUUAGAACCACAUUUCAAAAAUCGAGUGGAAAACAAUGAACGGGGUAAUAUGUACAUGCGAGAUACAAAGCUUAACAAACGAAAAUAUUAAUCAAUUAGCAGAAGAAGCAAUUAAAUAUAAUUAAUCUAAGUUAACCUAAUUUCAACCGCGAUAAUAAUAAUUGACAUAUCAACAGGAUGAAUACCACGUGAUGAUAAUAUAUAUGCCACAAUAUAGAACAAUCGACGAAAUAUAUACAAAGCGGAAUAGAAUGCCAAAACAUUAAAUGAUAUUGGUUUUUAAAAGAAAUGAGGAUUGAUAGUAUGAAAAUUUUAAAAUAUGUGUAAAACAUAUUACAAAUAAUAAUAAUAAAAAUGUAGAAUAUGAUAUAGACGGUUCUACAAAUUAUGUGUAUAUAUAAAUAAUUUUCAAAAAUAAGUAUUUGUGAAAACACGGAAAUACAUGCAUGCUUAAAUGAAUGUUUUAAAAAAAAUAAUUUUAUAUAAUGGUUUCAAGAAUGUGCUUAUAUAUGUAAUAAGGAAAACAACGUAAAAUACAUAAAUUAAAUAAUAUCUAUCUAAAUCAAACAUAAGUAUUAACAUAUACGCAUAUACAUAUAAUAGAAAUAAUUGGAGAGAUGCGUUUCGUAGGAUUAUAUAAAAUACGAGGACAAAUAAUUGAUAAUAGUAUAUAUACAUAUGAAAUGGAACCAACUUUAGUACAAAAUAUACACGUACAUCAACAAAAUAGGCUAAAAACAUACUAAUGUGUGCAAAGUAUAUUUAUUUUUUAAGGUUUAUAUGCACGCAUGGAUUUAAAAGAAAGAAUAUAUGUGUUUAAAGGUAAGUGAUACAUAUGUACAUACAUAAUAAUAUAAAUGAAACCAAUAUUUAAAAUGUACAAAACAUAAUACUAGGAUUGCUACAAGAAACAGUUUACAAAUAAUAAAAUAAUGAUUACCCAAGGUGGUUUAAAAAUUAAAAUUAAACUAAACAAGAAGGGAAAAUUAGGAAAUAAAAACUAUAAUAACGGCAGAGACCCAUAUGUCGUGCGCGCGAAUGGAGAGGGACUAAAACUGGGAAUAUGCCAAAUCUCGAAGUGCUGCGUUUGAGCAUGGACCCCAUUGCAAAUGAGCGCUAAAGACAAGUCUAAAUUUAAAUAAAUGAAACAAGAAUGUGGGUUGAUUUAAACAAGGCGCUAAAAAAAGGGGGACCGAUAUUGCAAAUCGCCCUCAGUGACCAAACGCGCGGAUCUAGACCGUGUGAGGGUCGGGUCAUCGGGCCACAACUCCUCAAACACUGUCAUUUUGAGACCAUUAGUCUGGCCUAAACGGCGCCGUGCAGAGGUCCACUAUAACUACCGAAACUAAACCCUAAGACACUAGCAACCAUUCACAGAAAACAAAAAAGGAAAGAACCUAGGGCGCUCUCUCAAUUCUCCGCCGACCAACAGCCUUUCAAAGGUCUGUUCCUCUGCCCAUCCUUUUGACUCAUGUGAGAGUCAAUCAAGGCCUCCUUGAGUCGAAGGGCUCAUGAGCUUCGUUUGUAGCCCCGAAUCGCCACUUAGCUUCAAUCAUGGUGAAACAAGCGUGGAUUCAAGGGCCUCAAAUGCAGGUGAGCGUCGUUUUCCAUUUUUAUUUACAUUCAAUCAAGAAAGGGGCAGAUGGGAAGAUAAGAGAGAAAUAAGGGACGAAGAUUGCGAGUAAAUCACCUUCUUUUUCGUUUUCUAUUGCUUCUGUUUGCGUAAAUGCGCGUAACCCGUUACAAGCAAUUCUCUUCAGGCUUUAUAGCCGAGAGACAAAAGAGAAAAGAAAAGAAAAAAAUGAAAAUGAAAAAUCAUUUCUUUGUUUUCUUGCACGUAUUUGCUGUUGUGGUUUGUCCUUUUUUUUGGCAGGUACAGGUGUGCGCUGGCGUACGGGGCGUGCUGGCUGCUGAGACGCUGGUAUCGUACGGAGGGCGGGCGUGGCACGACGUGGUUGCUGUUCGUGAAGGCUGCGGCGCGAGGACCCCUUUUGCCCUAGGGUUUGCCGAAGCUUAGCUUGGGUUUCGGGCUGUUUGGGUCUGUUCCAGUUAUUGGGCCCUUAUAUUUGGGCUAUGGGGCUACUGGUUUUUUUUUUUGUAAUUGGACUAAAGUAUUAGUAAUAGGGUCUUGCAAUUGGACUUAUGCUAUGUAAUUGGAAAGUAUUUAAGGGACUGUUAUAAUUUUAUUUAUUUUAUGAUUUUUUUGGUUUAUCUGGGCCGGGCAAAUUUGGCCCAUUACAUUCCUCUUCAACCUUUUUGAGUUAUUUUCCUUUUCACUUCGGGUUCUUUAUCGCUCUUGAAGUUUUUACCUGAUCAAGAAUGCAAAAUUGAUUUUUUUUUAUGUUUGAUGCACAUGUUUAUAGAAAAUCUUGAACCCCAAGACAAAAUCAAUGUUUAAAAUAAGAUCUUUGAAAACCUUUUUCGAACAUUACAAAAACUUGCAAAACAAUCAAAAACUAUCAGAACGAAAAAAUAGAAACUAUUAGAAUAUCAAUCGGCUACACAAUCUCAGAACAAUCUCUGAACAAAAAAUAGAAACUCAAAAAAUCAACAAAAAAUAGAAACAGUAUAUAAGAAUACUAAUCGACUACACAAUCUCAGAAAAAAAAUAGAAAGUUGCAUGCAUGUUAAACUUUAGGGGUUUAGGGGAUUUUAAGCUCAGUUUUUGAAUGACAAAGGGAGGAGGCUCUGGUGAUAGUGGCCUCACUUAGGUUUAACCCUUAAGCCGCGAGGAGGCCACCAUCUCCAUAGAUUUGGUGAUCCCUAAAAGAAGAGAAAAUUUUGGCUAUUUAGGUUUCCAAAUUUUUCUUGAAAGAGAACAAAAUAAAGAUUUUUAAGGAGAAAAAAAAACAAAAAGUAGAGGAUGGAGAAGAAAUAAAAUUUUCGAGUAGUUGCUGCUACUGUUGUUAUCUUCAUCACUAAGUAGCACCAGUUGUUGAGCGGCUACUGCCAUGUCUGUACAUUGGGAAAAAUUUUUGGAGGGGGUAAGGAUGAAAGAAGAAUGGAAAAUAAGAAAAGAAAAGAAAAAGUGGAAAAGGAAAAAGAGGGGAAAAAAAAAACAAAAAAAGAAGGCUAAAUAGGAUACCACGUAGUGGUGUGCGAUUGGUCAGCGUUGCCACGUCAGCAAAAAAAUUAACGCCACUAGUAUUAGGUACCAAACUAGUGGAUGGAAAAAGAGUUC